Molecule: long non-coding RNA, 64616 nt
Filed under: Fragaria vesca (wild strawberry)
Lineage: Eukaryota; Viridiplantae; Streptophyta; Magnoliopsida; Rosales; Rosaceae
Description: long non-coding RNA (FVES_LNC000309)
Source: RNAcentral
ACAACAAGGAUUACUUUUAUCGAUUCAACUCGAAUCAGAAUUCAACUGAUCAACAUAGAAAACUUGGUAAGAGGAUUCGUACAAGGACAAGAAGAUACCAAUAAGGAUUAGAAUUCUAUUGUUAUUAGAAGUGAACAAAGAGGAAGAUGGCUACCCUAAAAUCUUAACAGAUCAAUAUAGUUAUAGAAGAAGCAAAACAAUCACACCCAAACAUAGCCACCAUGAUAUAAGGAUAAGAAAUAGAAUCAAGCAUAGCCAUACCAAGUCUUAUAAUUUAAACAAAGAAGUUUUGCUUUACUUUGAAAACUGAGUAGAGAUGAUCAAGAUAUCAAUAAGGUCUUGGAGAUGACACAAUUGCAGUCAUUAUACUCGAGGAAUCUUUGUUGUGAGUAGAAGUUGGUGCAUAGAAAGAAGUUAACAAGCAAAUGGACAAAGUCUUUCUAGUAACCGAAAGUGGAGAUGGGAUUUCAUUGAAAUCAAAGAGCUUAUUCAAUAUGAUCAAAUUGUUUCAAGAGAAUAAAAUAACAAAGAAUGGAUAUAUCUCUCUCUAAAUGUUUAAAAGCUGUUCACUACGGCUGGAAAUCAAGUCCACUUUACUUUGAGAAAUAAAUAUCAAGAACAAAGAUUCUUUUGGGACUUGAUAGAAUUAUGUUAAUAGAAAUUAGACCAGCUAAAAGGAGCCAAACUACGUUUACAUAUAUAAGUUCUUCUAUGAUAAAGCUUUAUUUGUGGAUGACAAGACAAUAAUAUAGUUUUAGUAACUACUUUUACUAUGUCCAGCAUAAGCUAUUUCAAUUGAUGAUAGCAGAUGAAGAAACUUUAGGAUAGGACAAGAAAGAACAUCAACUUGAAUUUAGAAAUCGUUCAAUUGUACACAUUGAGAAAGAAAUAGUAAAUAGCAUCAAGAUAUAUUAUUAUCAAUUCGAACAAAUGAGAUUAACAUAGUAUUAAAUACUCAAACUCGAAAAUUCAAGAUGAGCAGAUGAAAUUCCUAGAGGAACCAAACAAUCACACCCAAACAUUGACAUAGAGAAUCAAAGCUAUAAAGAAAAUUAUGUUUUCCCUACCUUAACCUCCAAACAUCAGUGGCCAAGCAAACCAAGAGAAAUCAAGCGAAAUCCCAAAAGCACAAGCACCCACUCUAUACCAUAGCAAUCCAGCCACCUGAUAAAGAAAUUUUCAGAUUCGAAUUCAAACUCCCAUCUAUUGGGUAGUAGCUGAAACAAAACAACUCUUUGCAAAAGAAAUUAGAACUUACAGAAAUCAAGAUAUGAUUAGAUGGAGAAACCUGAGGUUCUCAGGCGAUGGAGGAACUAGCAACACACUCCUGACAGAUAUUGUUUGGGUGCAGUUUUGGGUAAGCAAAAGAAGACCAAUUUUCCAAGGAAGACGAAGAAAAGAAAGGAAAAGAGGAAGGAAGUCUGACGAGGUUGUUCUAGAGGAAUCGGUGCUGAUGAGAAUGAGAGAAGAAUGAGGCUGAGAGGUUCGAUCGGUGUUGAGAGAGUGAAUUGUGACAGGGAGAGUUUUUUUCGAUGGAGGCUGAGAAUGAGAGAGUAGCUAGUGAGAGUGAGAGUAGUGAGAUCGAGUCGAUAGGUUUUAGUGAGAGUGAAUUUCUCUUUGGCCAAUUUUUUCCAAAGAGACUAGUGCGUCCUUUUUUUUUUUCAAGAAUUGCGCCUCUUUUCCUUACAUAUAGAUGUUGCCCUAACACACUAACAUAUUUGUCUAGCUACAUGCAAAAUCAAAUGUUGCAAAUUCAAUUGUUUUAAGGGUAUUCCCUCCAAAGGUAUUUUAGAAACUAAAAAGUAACUAUAAGACAACACACAAAUGUUGUCCUAUUAACAAAAACAUUUGUCUGCAAAAUGAAAUGGUUUGGAGGGAAUCCACCUAAGUUAAAAUUUAGGCUAGGGUUUUGUUUACCUCCAAAGUCAGAAAUUACACUAUUCCAGCUGUAUCAGCCAACACAUAAAUGUUGUCUUAUUAACAAAAAAAAUUUGUCAGUAAAAUCAAAUGGUUUGGAGGGAAUCCACCUAAGUUAAAAGGCUAGGGUUUACCUCCAAAGUCAGAAAUUACUAAAUUCCAGUAUCAGCCAACACAUAAAUGUUGACUUAUUAACAUAAUUAAGUAAAAUUUUCACACAAGUUGUCAAUUCAUAAAAAUUCAAUAUCAGACAACACAUAAAUGUUGUCGGAUUAACAUAAUUAAGUAAAAUUUUCACAGAAAUUGUCAAUUCAAUAAAAUUCAAUAUCAAACAACACAUAAAUGUCGGAUUAAAAUUUUCACACAAGUAUUGGUCAAUUUGGAAAUCCCUCCAAAAGUUAAGAAAAAAUAACCUUCAUAGUUAGACAACCUAUAAGUGUUGUCCGAAUGUAACUUUCAUUUUGACAAUUGAGACUAAAACAGACCUUUUUCUUCACCAACAUAUAUGUAUUGUCUCAAAAACAUACCUUUUUUUCAAAAGAAAAUAAGUACUGUCUAAGUGCAUAUUCCACCGACACAAAGAAAAAAAUGUGUCGCCCCGAAGCCCUAAACAAUACUUAAUUUUGUUUGUGUCGCCUGAUGGGUAUUGCCUAAUGCAAGAAAUGGCAUAAUGGAUGUUCAUUUAUUGAUGUAAAGACAAGGUUGAAUUUUAUAGUAAUUAUUGUGCAUAUUGGCACAUCUGAAGAUACAUAUGUUGGCAUUGAAGUGAAAACCGUUAUUACAAGCUCAAGUUGGUUUACUGGUCUUAUAAACAACACUUUAUGUUUUAUAGGAAACCAGAUUCCCCAAAAGCAAGACCAAGACCGAUUGUUGAUGGUAAAUGUGGCACUCCUAAGAAGCAAAAACAGUGUAAUUGUAAACACUAACGCUGUUUAAAGCUGUAAGUCCAUAACUUGUUUGUACUUUGCAUUUUGCUACACUUUGGAGACCACACUGACUUUUUUUCCCUUUUGACCUAAUGGUUGAGGUUGUUCAUAAUUCUUUUUUGUUCAAACAAAAAGGUUUAUUUACAUCAGUACUGUGUAUCAAAUAACUCUAGCACACACAAAUACAAACCCUGAUAUAAAGUUGAUAUUUUUUCUAUUUGGUGACCAGGUAUUGCGAGUGUUUUGCAUAUGGAAUUUACUGUGACUGUUGCAACUGUGUAACUUGUUGCAUCAAUGUUGAAAAUGAAGGUGCUAGACGAGAUGCAGUCGAAGCUACUUUAGAGCGUAAUCCAAAUGCAUUCAAGCCAAAAAUUGCAAGCAGCCCACAUGGACCAAGGGAUAGUUGGGUAUAUAUACUUAGUGUUUGGACUUCUUUCCAUGAUCCACUUUGAAACUGGCAUUACCGGAUUAAAAGGCCACAUCAUUGGUUAUGCACCGGAUACUUGCUUCGUGUAUUCUGCAGCUCUCAGUUGUUCUGCACAAAGGAAGGUAAUUGAUGACUAUGAUUUUUUGAUUGUGUAUAUGUUAUGAAUACUUGAUGCACUGAUUGCUUGUUUGUCGAUUUUAGUUGGUCUUAAUGUUGGACCCUUUUGCCUUGGUAGCACUUUGCAUGAUGGAUAUGAACUGCCCUCUCGCCUUGUUUGGUUCCAUAGUUUUCUUUUGGUCACACGAAUUAUUGAUUCCUUAAUUUUUUGCUGCAGAGCUUUGCACUAGAUAAGCAGAGUGGCAAAAUAUGUUACAUGGGCGCAAGAGGGCUUGCAAUUGCAUGGGCAGAUACACCAGCUCAUUGGCAAUGGAUGACUCUAUCUACCACACUCCAGGUAUAUAUACUUCUUCAUGGUGUGUACUGUAUAUGUAUUAAUAUUGUAAUAGUAUCAAGUGCAAUUUGUUUGUGAAAGUAAAUUUUGUAGUAGGUUAUGUCGAUCUGUUUAAUUCGGGGCUUGUGAACCCCAAGAAGUCAUGUUGACUGCGACAAAUUAAGGUAGAAUCAUGUCAUUCUGUCUAUAUGGAAUUCUUUUAAUACUUUUAUUUUGCUUGACAAUCAAAAGAAUAGAUUGUGCAAAAAUUGAUAAGACUUCAAUAAUAGAAAUCUUAGUCAUAAGAAAUCUAGUAUCAUUUAUAAUUGACUUUUUUAUUGCUUUGAUCGAAAUUUCAGUUAUUAAUGAAAUUACAUUGCCUUAUUGGUUCUAUCUGCAGAAUAAAAGACACUAUUCCUAAGAGCUGUUGCAUAUGGGGAAUUGAGCAAGAUGAUUAAGCCUUGGGAUCCUUGGUGGUUGAAGUCUUUUGCUAGGACAAUAUCUUUCAGCAAAGAAGGAACUCAACUAAUCCAACCGCAGAAUGUCUAGUAGGUGUUAUAGCUUUGGUCAAGGAAAUAGGUGACUUUGAACUUGCAAAUAUGUAUUGUAGGUCAUUUUAGAGUAAUAACUUAUUGGUGUUUGAUACACGCAUUUUAUGCUAUAUUCUUAAUGUAUUUCCUACGCUAUUUAGCUUCGUUAAUUCCUUAAUAAUGUCAUUUCUAGCUUGUUUCUGUGUUGUAGAUCAAAAGAGGCAGCUUUACACAAAAGAAGGCUAAAACGCAAGAAUUGAGCGAAAUCCUAAUCAAAGGAGGAUGUGCAGCAAGGAGUCUCAUUAAGUCGCAGAAUCAAAGGAUAAGUCAUUUAGGAAACUUUCCAGUUUUGAAUAGGGAAAGUUGCCUAUUUCAUUUUAAGAAACUUUCUUAUUUUGAUUUAGGAAACUUACUACUUUUGAAUCUUUCCUAUUCUGACUUUCCUAAAAUAUUUAGGAAACUUUCUUUUCUAAUGAGACAGGGAAACCAUUUGAAGUCAGGAAACCUAAUCCAACUUGGAUUAGGAAGCUGUGAAUGUCUAUAAAAGGAGGAGGACGAAUUCUGCAGAAAUCAAGGGAUUUAUGUGUUAAUAUAAAUCAGAAAUUAAGAGAUUCUUUCCCUUAAUUUCGUCAUUUAAAUUCUGUCCAUCCUACCACAUUUAUCUGAUUUUAUUUCCCUUGCAGGAACCCUAAUUGUGCACCAGGAAAGGAAGGAAAUCAUGAAUUUUCGUCAGAAAACUGAUUGACAGCAGAAGAGGGAAAGUUCCUAAUCAUAGGGAUUCCUCAUGAAGCAAGGAUGCCAAAUCCUACAUGGAUUAGGCCCAAGAUGGUCGCCAUAAAUCAAGGAGAGGGACGGCAAAAUCCUAGGGUUUCCUGCCGAGUCUUUUUAGGAUUUUAAGACAAGAUUUCAUUGUCUAAAUUAAGGGAUUUAUUAUGCAAUUCAAAUCUGAAAAUCUGGAAAUUAAUUCCUUAAAUUCUUUUGUCUAAAAAUCUGAUUUUACAAGACUAACUCCUUCCCUUUUCAGGAACAAUAAAUGGCGCAGCAAAUUAAAGAGGAAGAGCUGAUUUUCGGCAAUACAAGGAAGGACACUAAAUGGUUGAUUUGUUGUAGAGAUCAAGCAACGCACCUAGUCCAUAAUUCAGCCAAAUUCAUCACCUUUGUGCGCAAGAAAUUCUAGAGAGUUCCCAACAGAUUUUAAUUAAUUUGUCAGGCAAUUCUCUUGGACCGUUGGAUCAAGGUAAAAUCAAGGAUGGAGAAUAAACCCUAGGUGCGACAUGGACACUAUAAAUAGAAGACAUAUGCUGAGUUUUGGACAUCAUCUCUUCACGCACAAAUCACACAAAAACAAUAGCAUAUUUCUUCUUGUAGCCGUGUGCAUCUAGAAGCCGAGAAGCCAACGUUGGAGAGCAGCCUUCAGACUUCCCCAAGCUGCAGCCGAGAUCUUGAAGCUGAGGAGCACUUGCGUCAUCAUCAACUGGCCCUUGAAGAUCAUCGAAAAAGUGUAACAACAUGCCUGUUCUCUUUUCUUGCGUUAACUUUAAAUUCGGAUUCAAAGUUGCAUGGUUGUAUGGUUUGAACUUGUUAUUCUUUUAAAUAAAUAAGUAUGAUGUUGAUAUGUUGGAUGAUUGUGAAUGGUUUUAUUUGUUUGUCAUGCAAAUUGUUAAGCAUAUAGUUACAUGUUAUAUACUAAACCGAUUCUGCAGGAUUGGUGAUUGCUAUGAUUUGUACUAAGCUUCUUCAAGUAAGUAUAGAUCUAAAAGUAGUGAAGGCUAUGCCUAAUGGCCGAGACUAUAUGUUAUGCAUCUGGGAGUUAAGCUUCUUCAAGUAAACUCGUGGUGCAUUUGAACUCAUAAUUCUUUAGUUCUUAAUGACUUGUAUAUUGUGUGGACGGGUGCCUUCGCAUCGAUCGCAGCCUUUAUAUGAGAUUGUCUACGUGUUAGGACUUCUCCAAUGUAGACGAUUAUUAAGUAGAAUUCGAUGGAAUGCAAUGACUCCUUCAAGCUUGUGUUUCGGGUUCAUUGACAUAUCUUGCUUGACAACAUUUUUAUUAUUCACAUGAUAAUAUAUCGAUUCAUACUUAUUGUUUGAAGGUUGUGUGUGUGUGGAAGAUGAUCACUUGUAUAUAUUAUACUUUUAUUUACUGUUUUCGUAGGAAUGUUAGAACAAACCCCAAAAUCCCCCCUGAAAUCAUGUAAAUGUAAUUGUUAUUUAUAUUCUGUAAAUAACUCUUAAAUUAGAUUCUAAUCUGUUUAGUUUUGUAAACGCAGGAGCACCCUAAAAGUCCCCGGAUUGAUCGAACCUUAUUUACCAAUACUACAAUUGUCAAAACAGGGUUCAUAAUUGUCGCACGCCCGGUAACGAGUCGCGCCAGUGUUAUAGCUUAUAUGUCUACUUAGGACAAAUAACUCUUUAUAAAUAUUGUUGGUUUUGGCAAUGAGAAUGAAUUUAGAUUUCUAAAUUAGUUUGUGCAAAUGCUUUGGUGACCUCCAAAUCAAAAUCAGACAACAGAUAUUCCAUGAAUUUUGACGUCUUACAUCUUUCAAACGACUUUGUUAUGUCGUCUUAAAGUAAAAGAAGAUAAUAGUGUAUGUCGUCUGAGUUUUGAGGUUUUAAACUAUUGUAACGACAGAAAAGCAUAGUAGUACUUGAAUACAAAUGACGGAUAAAUUAAGAGGAUAGAUAAAAAAGCCAUUCCGACGUCAUAUAAGUGACGUUAGAAUAAAUUUGAGACGAUAGACGAAUGAAAUUAUUUGUUGAUUAAUUCUUCUUUCAACGACAGAGAACUGUCGUUGUAACGUUUUCUAACGACAGAUUCAUUUUUUGUGUUACGAACAUGGAUUCAUACAGUAUGUCAUAUAACCUUUCUCAGACGACAGAUUAUGCAUGUCGACUAAAUGCUUAUCAGAUGACAGCUCGAUAGACGACACGCAAAAAAGUAAUUAGACGAUGGGCAAUAUCAUACAACCUUUCUCAGACGACAGAUUAUGCCUGUCGACUAAAUGCUUAUCAGAUGACAGCUCGAUAGACGACACCCAAAAAAGUAAUCAUUGCCCGUCGUCUGAAAGCAAAAUUGGCGUAGUGCUUCAUGACGUGAUAAUUAAUAAAAUAAAUUUUCUCCAAAAGCAUAUUUUCUUGGAAACACUUAUCAUUUGUGGAUCAAAUGCUAUAACAGUAUGUAUACAUCUUUAUUGUCAAGUCAAUAAUAGGCACCUAAAAACCACUAAUAAACAACAACACUUAUCAUUUGUGGAUCAAAUGCUACCAAAGUGCAUAACAAUAUGUAUACCUGGAUCCAUCAAUAUCCAGACUCUUUGAGUCAUUCACCAUUUUCAAAACCGGACCCAUCAACAUCUAGACUCAAUUGCGGUUCCAUAGCUUAUUGAUGUGGAAAAGUGGGGGAUCGGAGACGGUGUGGUGGAGAGCAAAGAUCUGAGGAUGCUGUCGUCGUAAAUGGAAGAUGUGCCGGAGCCGGACUUGGUGGCCAGAGAAUCAGCGAGAUCAUAGAUGGUGCGGUGGAGCGCGGAGAUUGGAGGAUGCGAGGAGGCAACCUCAUCGCAGGUGGGGGUGAUAGACCUCGUCGACGCCGUCGACAAUAAGAGAGAGAGAGAGAGAGAUAGAGAGAGAGGAUGAAAGAAUUCAGAGAGAGAGAGAUGAGUGACUGAGAAGAGGGCAGGGCAGUUUCGUCCAUAAAAAUAAUAUAAAAAAAAAAAACUGAAAAUUUUGUUAGAUGGAACAAACCUUAUGAGUGUAUAGGGUUAGUGGAAAUUUCAGCGUCCGAGGUGCAUGCGUCCUGAAUAAGAUUAAUUUCAGCUUUAAGCUAGCUUGAUCGAUGUAAGAGGAAAAAGAUAAAAUGACACAAGGAUACAGCUAGACUAGUGACUAUCAUUUCACCAAACUGGUUUAGUCAGUCUCACCAAAUCUGGCAAAAAACAAGUGAAGUCAAGGUUUGUUCUAUCUGCCAGCUUUUUAGCUACAUAUAUCUCAUUUCACGAGCACUCUUUCUUUCUAGGUAGCUCGAUCCUUUUUGUUUCGAGCAACAUUCCCGAGUAGUCCCAACUAUAAUUGUUUGAUGAAGAAAUGACCAUCUAUCAUGUAUGGUCGAUCUUCAAUCGAUGAAAAAUUUGCAAUUAUUCAUAUAUGUAUUUUAUAGGAAUACACGUUCUUUCUCUUGGUUGUCCAACGAUUAUUAUUGAGUACUCAUGUAAAAGUGGCAUUGCUUUAGAUGGUGGCCAACCCCUAACGAAACUCGCUUGAUCGAAUAUUAGAUAUGGCGCCGAGAAUUGCAUGAGAGAUUUUCUCGUUCAAACAUCUUUCUUGUUGAAUUAGUAAAUGCUGCGUGAAUUAUCUGCUUAUAUAUAAGUGACCCUGGUUGAUGUUGAGAAGGGGCGAGCUCAACUAGCUGCAGAGUCUGUUAUAUGCAUGGCUUCUCUUCUACUGUUACUGGGAGCAAUUAUGCAAUCCCAGUCUAAUGAUGUUCCACUUAUCGAUGGGGGAACGAAGGAUUCCAACUACAGCAAUGCUGAUGCUCUUUGGUAUGAGCGAAAACAUGGGACUGUCUUCUCCGGUGCGUCUCCUCGUGAUUACCUGUGGAGUUUUCCGAGCCACAGUGAUAUUGGUCAUGAGACCCAGGCCUGGAAGGUAGCCGUCUACGGCAUUUGGCCAUGACUAGCUACAAAACCAGCAGCCGCUACUUUGUUCUCCUGUAAGUCAUGCAUGCCCGUCUAUACACGAAUCAGAUUUCAACUGUAGCUCCUGCUUCUUGCCGUUCGAUCUGUUCGUGUAACAGAACUAUAGUGUAAAUUAAAAUGUUAAAUUAUGCAUGUAUCAACUUUUCUCUUGGUUUGCUGGGGUAACCAACUAAUUAAGUGGACCUUGAUGUAUUGCCCAGCCAACGAUUUGAUGACCUUGUGAUGGGGCCUCAGAGCAUUUUCACAGAUCGAGAAGUAGACAAUAUAUUGUCGUGUCCCUUGUAGAAUAGAUCUGCUUAAUAGUAGUUUGGAGCAACCAAAACUCAUCCGAGCUCGAUAAGAUCCCUUCGGGUCUCCAUGCCCAUAAUUUAGAGCCUCUAAUUAUUAAUUAAUUGACUUUGGGACUCAAUUCAAGCAUGUCCCUGUGAUGCUUCAACGAGAUUGAGAGUUUUCCGGCCAGGAAAACUGUUUCUCACUGUUUCACCGGAUUCAAUGUUUAGGGCUAGGGUUUGGCAUAUGCAUAAAACACUUAUCAUAAACACAUGUACAUAAACAAGAUCACAGAUUAUGACAUCAAACAUACAUCAACAUAUAUAUAUAUAUAUAUGUAUGUAUAUGUACUGAUAUAUAUACUCAAAGAACAAAAGUAGUACAUUGCUCAAUGUUGAGGAUAGCCAUCGGGAUGAAGAAGCUUCCAAAAGGGAUCUUCUGUACAACACUCAAGUACCAAAGCUUUGAUGGAGAGAGACUAGUUUUUGGCGUAAGUUAGAGUGUGCACAGAGACCUAUUUUUAUAUUGCAUUUUGGAUAGCUCAAACUCUUAACCAUGAAAGAGUUUGAGUUCCACACAAAUACCACAAUAUUAGCCUAUCUCUAUAUUAUCUUGUUAUACAAGAUAAUUCAAAUGCAUUUAAUUGUUUAUCUAAACAUUUUAUUUAGAUAAACUAGAUAAACAUAUCAUGAUAAUGUAAUUAAUAAUAUCACAAAGUUUAUUUUGUUAUUUUAUAGAAGUUGUCGUGCCUUAAGACUUAUAAUGCUAAGUCCAUUUUGACUAUAUAUAGGCUAGCUGAUAGCCUCAAAUAAACAUCAACACCGUCACAAGAGCUUAAUUAGUUAAAAAUCUCCCAUAUAUGAAUAUAUGAUAUAUGGAGCGAGUUGCGCAAAUCUAAUGCUUCCCUUUUCGAUGCUAGCUAGUGAUCGAGAUUAGAUGUCAUGUAGCAUGCCUAUGAUCAUGAUGACAAACAUUGAAUGAUUAAUUCAACCUCGCUUCCACCGUGCGUGCAUGUAUGCGAAUGUAUUGCACGCGCAUCCUUAAUUUGAUGCAAUAGUCGAUUGCAAGCCGAUCGAAGAAUCCCUUGAUUCUGCUAAUUUAUGCUUCAUGCAAGUCAACUGGAUUGAGAUACCAUGUUAGUGAUGUUACAUGCAUAUAUAUUAUCGGAUAAACUAUUUUGUCAUUAAUUUUAUUCCAAGUUCCACAAGGAAAACCAUCAAUUUUGUCCCAAUUUAUGACAUUAACUAUGGUAAAAUACCAAGAAUAAACCAGAGUAGUCUAACCCUGUGAAGAUAAAGGAGAAUUGCACGUACUUGAAAAGAUUGAAAUGAAACCAGCUGGCAUGGAAUUAGAUCUUCUUCUCCCAGCUAUACUGCUUCCUUUUGGGAGUUAUUAUGGUCGGUCGAUCUUCUUAUCCCAGAUUCCGGAGUCCCCAGCUGACAGACAGCUGAAUCAGUAGUGGACAAAUGCCUCUUCUCUAGCUAGUUGACCCUAAUCUGUGUUUCACAUAUAUUUAUUUAUCAUAUAUCAAGGCCAAAAUGAAGUUGUACACAUGCAUAGGGUCUCUCUGUUAGUGCUUUGCCUUAUCACCGUCGGCAGCCCCACCCGGCCACUUGAUUGUUUCUAGAAGUACGUUGCAAAAACAACGUUUAAACUUUAGUUUUAGGGCAAAAGCUGGCCUACGCGGGGAGUAUCGUACAGCGAAACGGUGUUAAAACGGAAGGGCUUUUAUGUAAUUUUCAUAGAGUUGAUAAAAUCAGUUUUUACUAGCACCGAAAAGAAAAAGAAGCCUGUAUCAUCUACAACCGGCUUAGUGGUGAAGCUCGACGGCGACGUCCUCGGCUUAGUGGUCUCGGGUCGACCCGACAGGCAAACGCUGUCGUUUCAGCCGGAUAUGGGAAUUCGUUCUCUCCUCGACGUUGCCGGAGCUAAUAGCUUGCGAGAUCUGGCAUCGCAAUCAUUGUUUUGGAUACUGGAAUUUGAAAUUUGAUUGUGAUUACGUAAGACUUGUUUGGACCCAACUUGAAUGGUGAUUGUGUAGUGAGGUCUGGUUUGCAUAUAUGUUAAUUGAAGCUGGGGUUUGGUCGAGGACAAGAUAUAUCAUAUAUGUUAUUGGUGGAGGACCUGCAAUUGGCACUUCUUCUUUGUUAUUAUCAUGACAUAAACCAUAUUGAACCUCACCAUGCUCUGCCAGCAUAAUCUGAACUUCGAAAGAACGGAGAAGUUCUCUAAACCCAAUAGCCAUCACUGCCCAAGCUAGACCAGUAGGCGUCGGAAGGCGUGGGUCUGACGGCAUCUCGAUCGCUGAUCGGAAUCCACAUCAACUGAGUUCCUCCGCCGUGUGUCGACCCCAUCAUCUUCUUCCUCGACGAGCUGAUCUCCGACCUUUUCUCCACCUCCACCGUUCUAAUCACCUCCGAUCUUUCUUAUUUUGAGAAGAAAUCACCUCAUGUCUUGAUGUGGAGAGAGUCAAAGUCGUGUGGGUUAAUUUGACGUUUAACGUCUUUAGAAUUUAACUCUGACGAGUGAUUUUACUGUUAACGGGAGUUUUAUUUGAAUUUACUUCCGUACCUUUUAGAUUCAAAUUCUGUGGCACACAUAGUGCCAUGUGAUAGAACCGACUCUGCGCUACUGUGGCGUAGUCCGGCGUUUUUUUAGUUUUAGUUCAUAAUAUUUUAAUGAUCCAAAAAAAAAAACAUAAUAUUUCUUUUACCAGAAGACUUCUGAGGGGAUCGGAAUCGCAUGCAAUGAGGCAUCUAGCUUGGAGGACUUGAUUUGUUUAGAGGGCAAGAACUGACGUCCCAAUUUGGAGCUAGAAAAAAGGUUUCGUCAAGAACAACGUACACCUGCUAGCUAGAAACUUGAUUCUCCAAAGAAUUUAAACUAAUUUACCAUUAACAGCCAUUGAGUAAUUUUAGACUUUGCCUUCAAUUGAAUUUGGGUAAACCUUUGGCUUUCGCUUACAGAUCGAGAAAGCUAGUAGCUAGAGUUGUAUAUCAAGGUUACGUGCUCUUGAUCGAGUUUAUGAUCAGCCAGUAUAUAUUGAUCGAGUAACAUCAAGAUCGAUACUGAGCUAAAACAGUAUUCAAUUCUUCAAGUCUUUAAUAUUAAUUCAAAAGAUGAAUGUUUAAUCACCAAAUUAAGACUCUUUUUGAGAGAGUCUUGAUUAAGACCGAGUUCGGUUGUUCUGCAUAUUCCUCAUCAUUUUAGUUGACCCGAAUAUAUAUGAGUUUAAUUAACAGAUCGAGAGAUGCAUAUAAUUAAGCAAAGUCUGAGUUUAAAACUGGCCUCGAUCGCUCUCUGGGUUCCAAACUUUCAAUGGUUGCGGCCGAUAGUGCUUCAUAUAUGUAAGGAAGCCGUUGAACACGUUACGAACUCUGAUCAGUCAACCGGGUCAAUCUCCUAAUUCAAUCACAAAUAGACAUAUAUAUUUUAUACAGCGUAACCACGUUUCAUUACCAUUCUGUAUCUAAUAUCUAUAUUUGUAUGUCAACCUCACAAACAAAGCAGCAGCCUACGUACACGACUCCGCCUUUUCUUCUCUCUUUUUUUUUUUUUUUUGAGGAAGACGACUUAAGUAAACGUACACAGGGUUUUUUUUUUUGUUUCCGAUGAGCUCUUACAAGUAUACUAAAUAGAUGUGAUUGUUCGAAUUUGAAGAAGACGUACGUGGUCCGAUCCAACAUGCAUAAUGCAUUAGUAAACUAGUUUAUUAUCAAGAACAUAUAUAGCCGAAUACUUGCUUUAACUACGUAGUCUUAAACCCUUUACAUAUGUCAUAUAUUGUUCCUUCAAUUAAGGUAAUAUACCAUGCAGAUUAUGACACGACCCACCCCGAAUUUCACCCUGAAACCCAGAGUAAGUCGUGCGGGGACCACCUCCAAGGAAAAUUUACUGAAAAGAUUAAGAAAAUCUCCCUUGCAGAUGGACAACCCUAACUCGAAAAUUUCAUAUUACACUCUUAAUUCAACACUUCUGAACAUCACAUAAUAUACAAAAAUUUUAAAGUAUUCAGAGCUACUAAACACAAACGGAAGCAAAAAAACACGAGUAGGUUGAACAGGUAACCUACUGGCGAAAACUGGCAGAAAUGCGGGUGACUAUGCCUCGUCUCCUACUAGAUCCCACCCGAACUCUGCAGACUGGGCAAUUUAAAACGAAUGGCCCAGGGGAAAACAUUUAAUAACGUUAGAGUGAGUGGACAAAAAUAAAAUAAUAAAUAAAAUAUUUAUGUUUCCCCAAAUUAAUUUCUAAGAAAAAAUCGAAUGCAUGCCGCAAGCGAUAAAACUUUUAUCCCAUAAAAUAUCGAGCCUCUCAGACUCUAUAAUAUAUGUAUGUAUUUACACUCGUCCAUACUCCCUAUAUAAAUUCAUGGGUCUAUAUAGGGCUACUACGCUCGCGUCCAACGCUCACGUCACGCCUUAAUGCAGUGCUACACUACGCCAUCAAGGUGGACAGACGGGUGUAUAAAUAUGUGCCCAUACCCCCUAUAUGAAUUAAACACUCAUAUAGGGCUACUACGCUUACGUCCAACGCUCACGUCACACCAUAAUGCGGCUAUAUGCUACGCCAUUAAGGUGGACAGACACAUAUGGCUAGCUAGCAUUUUCUAUACAUACUCUCUCAUAUAUACAUAUUUAUAUUCACCGAAAAUCCCAUUUUCGGUAACUCUCUCUCAGAGAAAUAAAAGCGUCAAAAUUAAUUGACGGCAAAACUCUAACAAAAGGAAAUGUUCAAUCAUGAACCAUAGCAUGCAUAUUAUUUCAAAUAAAAGUCCACUCACAAAUUAGGCCUAAUCCUGAUGUCGAUCUGGGGUCUCGUCUGCUCGAGCCUCCUCACGUCCUGUUCCAAAUAUAAUAUUAAUUUCCCAACCAAUAAUCCAAUAUUUAAUCAAAAUAGGCAAAAUUACCCGAGAGCCAUAAAUACGCUCAUCAUUGCCUAACUUCGAUAUUCUUAAAUCGGAACGAUCCGAACUUAAAUAUCAUACUCGACAGUCGUAAAUACAACCUCUCCAAAAUACGACUUAAAUCCUACGGCCGGAUUCUACAUUAAUUACCCGCCAAAAAUACCACACUUCAGAAAUUCACAAACCUAUCCAAAUCUCAUCCAAAAAUUCCAAAAUUCACUUCAAUAAUAUCUCCUUAAUAUUCUACAUCAAAAACCAGACAAUUUCCCAAAACAGCGGCGGCGGCCGGCGACCAACUCCGGCGACCUGCAAAUGCUACCAAAUUUUAACAGAAUCUUCCUCUCAAUCUCCUCUACAACUUUCAUGACUAACACAUCACCCAAUUCUAAGCCUAACUAGGCUAAUCGAACGAAAACAACUUAAACACCAUAAAACUUCCACCUCAAAUUCCUCCUUACCUAGCUCAAGAGGGAGUGAGUCCUUUUAGGGCAAGGCUGCUGGGUUGGAGGGCUACAAAACCAUACCAAGCUUGCUCGGAUUGGUGGCCGGAGGAGGAAGUUCCGGCGACGUGAUCCCUAACACAGUCGGACCUCUCGGGCCAGAUAUCUCCCUCACGGCGGCGCUAGGGGAGCUGUCACCGGUCCAAGAAGGUUGCUGGGUUGAAGACCGAUCGAUUGGGACCGGUGCGGCGGUCUGGGGCGGCCGGACGGCGGCGGUCUGGCGGUCGGAAAACGGGACAGCGGGAGGGCUCGGGUGCGGGAGCGGGUGAGGAGAGAAAAUCGGGAGGAAAAGAAUGGGCUUGGGCCUCACACCCCAAACCGGUCCAACACUUAUAAACUAUCCAAAUUCUAAAAUUAAACACCCCGAAAAAUAAUACCCGAAUAAAAAUUACCUUUUACUAGCUAAAAUUUACCAUUUUUACCGUCGUCGUAUUUUCCUCAUACGAAUAAUCCUCUGCACAUAAUCGUCCCCGAAACCCCUCUAGGGACCAAUUAAACUAUUUACUCAAUGAUCGAGACGGUAAAAUUCUUAUUAUAAUCACGCUAGUAAAUAAGGUAAAAAUAUAAGGGUCGGGAUGUGACAGAUUAUAUUCUUGAUAUCCUUGUUAUGUGACAAAUAAUUUGUUCUAUUAUUGCUCUAAAGGAGAAUGAGAGGUUAAUUAUCUGUUAAUUAAGAAUAUAUAUUGUCAUUCUAAAGUUUACACUUGUUCAACUGAAUUUCUAUUAUAGCGCACAUUCAUUAACUCUCAUGUGAUUCCGACUUUUUUUUUUUUAGUACAGAGGAUCAGCCAAAACGGCUCACCCUGUAAUAAAUUUUAUUUUAAAGAGAAAAAAAAAGAAGCACAAUAGCAAUGAGAGGACAUAAAACCAAGCUCCUCAAAAGAACCACAUGAAAGAACAGGGUUCUGUGUCUGUUGAAGACGACGUACUGCGCGCAACAUAUUAGAACGAUUUUGUUUUUUGAUUUUUGAAUUUCAAAGGAUUAGAAAGAUAAAUGAGAGUUUUAAAAAAUAAAAAAUCAAAUCAGGAAAAAUGAAAAAAUAAUUUCGUAAUUAAUAGAAAACAUUAAUAUAUAUAUAAAUACUAGAAAACACACUUUGAUGAUGUGUGUAUGUCACGUCGUGUGCCACAUAAGAUAUGCUCUAGGUGGUUCACGUAGCAUUACUCAUUAAGAUUAGAGCGCACCCAUAUGAUAAUAAUACCUCUGUAAUCUCUAAAUAUUGCUCCAUAACCUGCACGAUCAGAAAAGGCAAAGUUGACUUUAACUUAAUCAACCUACGAAUAUUAAUUAGUUUAGAUCAUUAAUCGCAUUUUCCACUCACAGUCAUCUCUGCGGUGCAUGGAAAUUUGUUAUCAGUUGCAGGAGUUGCUCCAUGAUCAAUGAGUUCCACAUUAUCGCUAUCUAGCUAGGGCAUAUUUCAGUCCCCCGACUACAAGGAUGACAUUAUUCACGAAUCUUACUCAAACAGGCCACUAGGUUUUUCUGCUUAUCGGGCCAAAGAUCGGAAUAUUUUUUUUCAGCGGAAUAUGAAAGCAUAUAAAAGGUAACAAUAAUCAUAAUUACCGAAAUAUUGUAAACCACGUUAGAACUCAAAACCAUAAAAAACCCUAAGGAGCGGCGGCUUCAAGAAUUCGGAACAACCUCGUCCGACCGCAGCCGUGGUCUAGGCUGGUCCAUUUGGCCACGCCGACGAGAGUAUAGCAUUCGUUCUAGUACGCGGUCUACCCAUUCAGCUAAACAUUAGUGUUUCAUAAAUCCAAUCUUUUCAGAUUGCAUGAAAUUGAGAUAUAUAACUUCCAAUAAAUUAAACGGCAUAAUUGUCAAUUUAUCAUCAUAUUAAUGUACUAAUCAUAUGAUCCAAGUACAAAUGCACAAGAUAUAUAUAGUUCACAUCAUCAUUUCGUAGGAUUAAUAUGUCUGAACCAAAAAAAAAGUUUCUCAGAAAUUAAAUUUGUAAUGCUAUUCACUACGUCAUAGCUAGAAUCACCCGUACAGUUGAUGACUUCAUCUAUCAGUCGCUAUUAAGCUGUUGUUGCAAGAACCAUAUAUUCUCUUCAUUCCAUAAAUUAUCCACCGAGUCAUCCCCACCAGGAGUUGACCAACUGUUGCUGCUUUCUAUUUGCUCGGAACCUUGAAAAUCCGAAUCAUCUAAUUGGUAACAACCGGACCCGUAAUUUGUUGAAGAAUAGUAUUGCCCGUUCGUUGGAUAAUAGUUGAUGAGCUCACUGAACUCAGUUCUGGUAGGCUCUCCAAUAUAAUUCAAACAAUCUUGAAGUCCCGUUGAACCGGACGAAGUUGCAGACGUCUCGGGCAGGUAGUGAGUAGACCCAGCAGCCGCCGUGUUACUUUGGUCAGAGAGGCUGUAGUCAUCUGUUGGUGUAAAUGAGGUGGCGGUGGCGGUUGCGGUUGCGGUGGUUUGACCCGAUAACAAAGUCGUAGAAUCGGGUGAAGCCCGGAUCCUUUCCAUUAAGCGUGGAAUCCACACGUAACGCAUGGCGUCCUGGAAUUGUUUGCUGUUAACGUCACAAUUGAGAUGCUUUGCUUGCUUUUGGACUCUUGUUCUCCAGUAGUUCUUGAUCUCAUUGUCUGUUCUUCCCGGCAAGUAUUCCGCUAUCUUCGACCACCUGAACCAUAAAUUCCAUCAGCUUUCAAAUUAACUGUACGUAAAUUCUAACCAAGUAUUAAAAAAAAAAAAGAGACUUUAAUCCCAUCCCAACUGUGUAAGACAGUAAGAGNNNNNNNNNNNNNNNNNNNNNNNNNNNNNNNNNNNNNNNNNNNNNNNNNNNNNNNNNNNNNNNNNNNNNNNNNNNNNNNNNNNNNNNNNNNNNNNNNNNNNNNNNNNNNNNNNNNNNNNNNNNNNNNNNNNNNNNNNNNNNNNNNNNNNNNNNNNNNNNNNNNNNNNNNNNNNNNNNNNNNNNNNNNNNNNNNNNNNNNNNNNNNNNNNNNNNNNNNNNNNNNNNNNNNNNNNNNNNNNNNNNNNNNNNNNNNNNNNNNNNNNNNNNNNNNNNNNNNNNNNNNNNNNNNNNNNNNNNNNNNNNNNNNNGAGAGAGAGAGAGAGAUAUGGAGCUGUGAAUUGUAUUAGGAAUCUAGCUAUAAUCAGGAGAAUGGAUCGGAUUAGAUGAGAAUUGAACGAGGGGGGUUAUAUAAAUUAAGCUGGUAAGAAUAAAACGGUGAGCGUGUGAUGGAACGCAGUCAAGACUAAUCUUGGAUCAAAAGUAGUUUAAUAAAGAAUUAGUGCUAAGAAUUCUACUGGUGAUACAUAAUCAAUAUAUUUUUUACUUUGGAAUUUGACCAUUUGACCUAUCCACCAAGAAACAUAGCGUCUCACGCGCACAGACUAGCUUCUAAUAGAUCGACUAAUACAAUUUACUUGAAUAUUAAACUACAAAUUAAAAUAAUGCAGAGCGGAGUGUUUUAAUUUCUUUAUUAGUUAUAUUCGAUUAUGCUCAUGUUUCAACUUUGAAGACGAAGAUCGAUCUCACUAUAUAUGUACAUAUUUUACACCAUAGCCUUGUGAGAGAUUUGGAAGUAUAUAAUACUAACAAAAUUUGACCUACCAAUUAACCUCUUGUUCUCCAAAGAUCUGGACCAUAUAUAUGCAUGCAUGGUUUGGAAAAUCAACAGCAUUUCUUAUCUCCAUUAAUCUUUUUACUGUUCGAUCAUGGCUGGUGUGAGGUGACUAUAUUGAUAGGAAUUUACCAUUGUUGACGAAAAGGCUGGUGUGCGCACCUACUUAAUUAACGAUCAAAUUAAUCUUGUGCAGAGGAAAGCCAUGCCAGGCUCAUGGUCUUUUUAAUUUGUUAAGUCGGUGGGGCCUUGAUGAAAAUUCACUGCCCUACCGACCUAACAAAUCAUUUUUAUCUUGAUCGAGGAAAGCUGGCUAUAUUGGCUGACUAUUAAGAAAUAUGGAGAAUUCACUACAACAAUAUGGAGCAAAGGCCACACAAGUUAUAUGGCUUUUAAAAUUGUUGCAUUUUCCUAUAAGUGUAGCGAGUGAGGACAGUGACAAAACUAUAUUACGGCCCGGGAGGGUCCGGGACCCCGGUUGGGUUUUUUAAUUGUCUUAAUUAAUUACCUUUAAUUGGGUAGCUUGGUUAUAGCAAAUUUACCCUUAAUUUUGUUAAUGAAUCCCCCUAUAUUAUAGCCAAAUCUGAUUUCGUUCAAAUAUUAGCAUUUAUCAGUUAAAACUUAAACAUUUGAUAGGUUUAUUUUUGUGUUAUCUAAUCAUAAUAUCAUAUCUGUUACAUUUAUUUUCCAUUUAGCUAGUAUUCUUAAUAAGAUUCAAUGCAUUUAUCUUCUUUUUCAUGGUAAAUUUACGGGGAAAAAAUAUUUGUUCUUGAGCUUUUUACUUGGAACCCCUCCCCUCCCCAACCUUGAAAUCGAUCCUGGUUCCGCUACUUAGUUAAGAUAUUAAUGGAGUAUGAAGGGGAAAUAUACCAUACAUGUGUGAAUUGUAACACCUCUAAAGGCCACAUUUGCUCUAUAUUAUUGUAGUGAUUGGAACCUUUUUUUUAUUAUUAUUAUUUAAAAUCGCAGUAUCUCAAAGGCUUCCUAGACUCUAAAACUAAUCCGAUAGGAGUCCGGAAGCCAGCAAGGCAUUGCAGCCGCUCCCCUUGCCACUUUUGACAAUGUCGUGGUGAAAAUGUGUGUUAAAAAUGCACUAGAAUUUCACUGUACGUGAUCCUAAACACAAUUUUUAGACACAAACAUAAAACAUGCAUUGUUAUUUAAUUAGAACAUUAUAUUGCAAUUAGAAUAGUAAUUGGACGAAUAGUAAAAUAAAAACAUUGUUGUGCACUUCUGCUGUGAAUAUUUACGUAUACGCUUUGCGUGCAUUCUCGAAUUUGCGCCCAAGAGGACAGAAAAUAUUGAGCUCUUAAAGGUAAAUUAAUCCCAUACAGAGACAUGAAGUUUAUAUUCCAACUCCUUUAUCUCUAAUGGGAUACUGUAGGGAAGAAAUACCAACAAAGACCAGGACAGUUAGAUUCUGAUCUUUAUCAAAUUAACCAGUUAUUUUAUAGGAAAAAUUUGAGACCCAAAUUCUCAUAAUAAGGAGAAGAAGAAAAGGAAAGUGAAGUCAAAAGUUUGUAAUUGAUGGAUUAAGUGGAAUUGUACCCACAAAAGUGAAGCAUAUAAGGAUAGGAAUCCGUAGUGGCAAUAAUAUUACAAAAGCUCAAUUACUUUAUCGAUGGAAUAUAUCGAGUAAUAUAGCAGUGUUUGAGGUUCAUGGCUUUCAAUUUCUAUGAAACCUGAUGGUGCACAUGCACUUGCUCGCACUUGCGUACUUUCUGGAACAUUAUCUUGGAAGAUGAUGUAGCUGGGUCCCAUCGAUCAGUCCCAUGUUUAUCUUGAAGCAAACAAAGAAUCAGUUUAUCGAGCUCGUUCAAAACACUGGCUUUAAGCCUUUAAUAGAUCAUGACAUCAUAAGGAUACUGAGAACAUAAGGUUUAGCUGACCGUAUAUAUAUUUUGUGAAAGUUAUAGCAGAUGCAUGCAUUUACUGUUUUAGUUCCCACGACAGUAGUGCAGCUGGGAGACCAAACAUAUUGAAGCAUGUAUCCAAUUCGUUGUUGGAAUUUGGUUAUGCAGAACGUACCUCUCCGCAACUGCAGCUAGUUAACACUUCACACCGGCCGGCCAACAAAUAUUUUACGUCUCCGCAACUGCAGUUAGUUAAUACUCAUUGACAUACAUGUCGGUAAACUGUGGCUUGGUUGGUUCGUUAGCUUAAUUAACAAUGUUGAUGUUAUGAGUUCAAAUUAACCUCUUACUAAUCAUCUUAUAUUGAAAAGGGAAAAUGCCCAUUUAGUACUAAUUCAAACCCCUUGUUUCUCAUUCCAAUGAUAAUCUUUUGCAUUAGCCCAUUCUAAUACAAGGUAACCAUUUUUAUGCCCAAAUGCACAAAUCUUUAUGCCCAAAUGCACAAAUCUUUACUAAAGUCUUAACAAACCAUAUUAUUUUAAGACUAUUUUGCCCCCACCUCUUCAACAUGAAAAGACUUGGCCGGAACCUCGGACUCCGGUAACCGGCCGCCGGACACCGGACUCCGGUCACCGGAUUUUCCCCGACAGCCGGAUUCCGGUCACCGGAUUUUCCUCUGUAACCAAUUACUGACCCCCAAUAAUCAGUUACUGACCCAUAAUAACCAGUUACUAACCCCCAGUAACCAGUUAUUGAUUAAUUACUGACACCCGGUAACCAGUUACUGACCCCCCAAUAACUUUUAGUUUUUAGUUACUGACACCCAGUAAUCACUUAGUUUUCAGUUACUGACACCCAGUAAUCACUUAGUUUUCAGUUACUGACCCCUAAUAAUUUUGGUUACUGACCGGAGAGGAGAGAACUGAGGAACCGGCCCGACGGUGAGCACCCACAUUUCUUCUCUGGGCACCCACCUUCCCCGACGGUGAGCACACCGGCCUCCUCCACCGACCCCGGCGCACGCCGGCAAGCAACGCCCUUCUAGGGGAGUAGGAGAAGCGGUGAGGCAGCUUAGAGCCGGUUUCCGGGGCUGUGCGGUUGCGGGUGAUUUUGCGGUGGUGGCGGCACCGGCGAAUGGGACGACGAGGUUGGGCUGCGGCAGAAGAGACGACGGUGACCGCGCCGGGGAUCGGGUGAUUGGGCGCUGCAGAAGGUGGAUCGAGAAGAGAAGGUGGUCAGAGUUACGGAAGCAGACAAGGAGGAAGAAGAGGAGGGAGAAGGCGGUGGUGGCAGCGCCGGCGAGUGGGACGACGAGGUUGGGCUGCGGCAGAAGAGACGACGGAGACGGCGCCGGGGACCGGGUGAUUAGGCGCGGUAGAAGGUGGAUCGGGAAGAGAAGGUGGUCGGAGGAGAUGAAGUAGCGGUGCUUGUGUGGGCAGCUAGCGUCGGAGGAGGAGGAGGAGGAGGAGAGAGAGAGAGAGAGAGAGAGAGAGAGAGAGAGAGAGAGAGAGAGAAGAAGAAAGAAGAAGAAGAAGAAGAAGAAGAAGAAGAAAGAGAUAAAAACUGUGUGAAUUUAAUUAAACACAGGGUAAUAACGUCUUUUUUUCAAGAAUCAUUGGAAUGGGCACAAGGAUAAGACUUUAAUUGGAAUGGGCUUUAGUUUUCAAAUAUUUGGGCAUUAGGGCAUUUUCCCUAUUGAAAACUUGAUACAAAUCCCUUAAAAAGUUACUUAUCCAUAUGAAAUGUUAAUCAGUUGUAUCCUAGAGCAAAAACAAUAUUAACCGCAACCAUAAAUUUUUUAACGAUUGAUUCCAUCUAGGGUGCUUGUAAAUAUACCUAGAAACUUUGAAAUGCACCUAGAAAUUAAGUAUUUUCCACAUUUACCCUCGAUUCUAAUAUUAUACAAACCCAAAGACAUAUCUCUAUUAAACUCUCUCUGUCGUGGCUAGGUUAGGGUUUUUGUAGAGUAAUCGGUUGUGCGGCAUCGAAAACUCCAUGGCAGACGCAAUUGCAACAAUGACCGCUGAGAUAUUACCUGGUGACUUGCAAAAGGGUUUGUGGCUCUAAGAUAUUACCUGGUAGGCCGCUUCUACACUGCCAGAGAAGUGCUUUUUGAUCCUUUUCACAAUGCAAUGCACUCUAUGUGGUGGCUACCAACCCCGUACAGGCCCAUACCUGAGAUUUUCAUACCUGAGUCGAACUUUCAAAAUUUGGCGCUUAAAGUAUAGUAUUCAUUCAAUUUUAUUUUCUCUUUUCAAGAAACACACAAAAUUUUCACGAACUAAAGUUAUAAACUCAAAAUCUAACAACAAAAAACAUUAGAAAUCCUAUUAAAAAUCUUAUUUAUACAAAAAAUUUCUUACUUAGGCUGCUCAUUUUUUCUAAAAUAGUAAUUAAUGAUAGUAAUAUAACAGGUAAAAUUUAAUAUUCAUUUUUCUCUUUUGUAAUCUAACACCACCUAAUUGGAUGUUGUUAAGUAUUUUUGAUUGUUUUUAACUAAACUACAAAAGAAAAUUUUGGGCCCCUUAAGGUUUUGGGCCCUGAGUUCAUCGACUCUUAGGACUUUAUUCAGGUACGGGUCUGCCCCUGUGGAGGUCUAGGGCAAAGACGACCGACUCCUCUACACAUUUACGAGAGUGAGAGGGAUGUGAAUCUUGUAAAAAGGGGAGGACCUUGGUGCUAUAUAUCAACGUGCCAUGAUCAUGUUGAAUGACUAUGAUAGGUUUUCUAACAUCAUGGUUGUUUCGCUAAAUUUUGUGUGAAUUUAGGUUGAGAUCCAUGGCCUUCUGGCUGUGCUUACUAUGGUGGAACCGGCAAGUUGGUGGGCAAGACCAUUGGACCUGUCUUGAGGGUUGAUGAGGCGAGUACAAAUCGUGAAGUUGUGCGCGUUCAUGCCACCCUUCCCCUGAACAAUCAUGUGUGUCUGGAUAAUUGAUGUUAUUUAAGAGUUCAAGUAUGAACGACUUCUAUAGGAGGUGCAGAGAUUGCAUAAUGAUUAACGAUGGGGGACUUCGCUCUGUCUGCUACGCCUCCAAUGGUGUUUCGAGGGUCUGUGUCUACCUCAGCUACACUCUUUGUGCCAACAGUGUCCCUCUCCAAAGAGAAGAAUGCAACAACUAUUAGAGAAGUACUUGAAUUCCCUUCCCCCACCAAAAUUAUUGGGGUACGUCGUGGAAGAGAAGUUGAAGAAUCUGGUGAUGGUAGAAGACCAAAACACUCCCUGGCAUUAGUUCCCAUGCCACUAAACCCAGAGGAGAUGGGUUUCUUUGUUACUGAAUCAAGGGUACUUGGUAUCAAGAAGACAGGUAAGUCACCUAAGAAAAGAGGACAUCCCCGCAACAGCCGUAAUAAGAAGAUGUUUGGUGAAGCUUCUGAUGCCUCUGAUUUUAAUGGCAUCUAACUUGUCUGGUUCUACAAUGGUUAAGAAUAUCGGCCUCGUCUCUGAGGUUGAGGAGGAAUAGUUUCCCUAGUGCUACUAGCUAGGAAAGAUUCCUUUCAAAACCCAUGCAACUACUCUCUCUCUCUCUCUCUCUCUCUCUCUUCUCAUCGAUAAAAGGUACACCACUUGAGGUCUUAGGCCUCAUUCGUUGAGGGUAGAGUGGUUAAUAGGUGUUUGGAAAGUUAUUUGCUAUUUUUAGUGAGACAUAUCCACCUUUUUGUAUGUAGUUUUGAGAUUGUUUUUCAAUUCUUAGAAAUAGUUUGAUUUAGCUUUGUUAUGUGCUUGUAUGGUCUUUGGACUGUUCAUGCUUGAUCUUUUGGUCAUCAUGAUCUUUGAUCAACGGAUUUAUCUCAUUCCUAAUAGAAAAAAAAAAAAAUCAUUAUCUAUUAACAGUUUAAGCUCCGAGAAUAAAUCAAUGUAGAGGAUAAUCUUGGUCGGUUUGUUGUUAUUGUGGUGAUUGUUCAUUUGUGUCAGAGUAAUUGGGUUGUCCUAUUCAUCCCACAUCAUGGUUGAUUGGGGAUGAUUUUAGUGGGUUUGAGUGAAUUGAAGUGAAGAGAUAAAUAUGAUAAUUUACUAGGGCUGGCAACAGAUUCUUCAUCUUAGUCGCAAUUUUAUCAUAUUUAUCUCUUCACUUCAGUUCACUGAGACCCAUUAAAAAUCAUCCCUAAUCAAUCAUGAUGUGGGAUGAUCAACCCAUUAAGAAUUAGUUUAUGAAGCUAGCAUAUUACUGUGUUUAUGUGUCAAGAUAUUAGUUUAGUGUAGAAUGCCAUAUUUAGCCUAAGCCUACCCAAUUUUCAGCGAAUGGUAGUUUUAUUGUUCUUAAAACUACUAAACUCUCUAAUCCUUCACGGCUUCACCUAUUGAUGACUAAUAAACAAUUUCGUAACCACCAAAAGUGUUCGGUUAGUAAGAGCCUAGAUAUGUAAAUCCUCAUAUUCGAAACAUGCCGACGUUGGUUGAAGUCUCAAUAUAUUCUUGGUGGCUAGGAAGAAGAAAGCAUUUUGGCAUGAUCUCUCGGUAUAGAUUAGUUUUUAGGUAAAGAAACGUGAUCUUGAUUAAAAAUAAAAAAAUAUAGAAAAAAAGAUUUUCUGUUGAAGGAAAAAUACCGUAAGUGUGCAUUCGUCAAAGUAACUGACGAAAGUAAAUUAGUAAGUUAUUAAUCAAUAGAUGUAACCGCUCAAUUAGCCAUAUCAGUUAUUAUGUACGUUGUUAUUAACAUUGAAUAUCACCAUUAUAUGUAUAAUUACGUUUGUAAUCGACCUCGAGGAAUGUUAAUGAAGUGAGUAGGCCAUUCCGAUUGUAUUUUUACUUUUACAUUUUCGUAAUUGUAUCCAAUAAUUCAAAUUGAAAAUCCAAAAUUAUGGCUUGGGCUUAAGACGUAAUUGAGGCCCAUGUCUAAUUGUUCAAAUCAGACUGCAGCUCCGUGAUCGAGAUUUUGUGGUGUCAGACUCUCAAGUUUUGAAUGGUCAGCUCCCUUCCUGCUUUGUAACUCAGUUUGACUAUGUCUGCUGCUUCUGCAACCGCUGUAGCAGCCUACAUAUCUAGACUAAACUGUACCAGUCUCACCCACGUACCCGUUUGGAGGAGCCCUUCUUCUCUAAGACCACAGCCGUCUCUUACUCGCAUCUUCUUCAAAAUCCCAUGUGGAUUUUCCCAGCAAAGCUCGGUCCUCACUGGAUUCAGACGUCUUUCCCCUGUUAUGCAAUGGCAGGACUGCACGUAAUUUCCAUCUCUCCUUGCUUUGAGAAUAUUGAUUCUUGUUUGUUUAUUUACAACGAUUGUCGGAAAGUAAUUUGUUCUAUUUGGUAAUUCAUGUGGUUAUGAGGAUCUUCAAUGAUUAGUCAGAACCCAUAUCAGCGAAUAUUUACUGAUUCUUUUGUUGCUUCAUCGAGUUACAGUUUAAUAUAUUUUGAUUUGAGGGUCUAGACUUCAUAUAUCUGAUUUUGUUGCAAUCAACUCCUUCAGUGUAGUCUAUUCUUAUAGGUUGCUUCUCAAUCGAUUAGGAAUGCACGAUGGUUUUUAUAUUGUAAGUGCUUAAAUGAUUAAUGACCCGUCUGUGUUUUAUCAUGUUGGUGCUUCUUAUGAUGGUUUAUAUCUCUUACUCAGAAUGUAGUAGUCAAGGUAACCAUAGAUAAUGUUAAUGGAGUUCUUGAAUGAGGUCUAUUCGACUAGCAUGUAUGUUCUACUAAUGUCUAGACAAUGUACUUAAAUGCAGAGUAAAGACGGAAAUUGAUGUGCCUAUUUCAGUUGCAUAUGAUUGUUACUCUGAUCGUGAGGCAAUUCCCCAAUGGAUGCCCUUUAUUUCUACGGUAAAGGUACUAAACAAGUCUCUCAACACUAGUUUGGUGACCUUCAAUUAUAUUGAAAUAAACUUGUGUUUGAUCCAUAAAAUUGUUUAUUUGAAAAACAUAGGUAUUAGAAGACAAGCCUGAUCUAUCACGAUGGUCGCUUAAGUAUAGAGCUUUUGGGCGUGAUAUUGAAUUCUCAUGGCUUGCUCGAAAUAUGCAGGUAAGAACCAUAUACCAUGCUUAAAACUCAAAAUUCUUUGUUUCCCUUUCAUAAUAUGCACACCUAUCAUCAGAACUAAGCGAUUUUUUUUGUGGUUGACAAUACUAAGCAGUUGUAUAAUGUAUUCUAACAAUGCUCUCUUUCAAACUAUGGUUCAAUUAUUUUCAUGCAGCCAACCCGAAAUCAGAAAAUCCACUGGAGAUCUCUGGAAGGUCUUCCUAACAGGUGUGAAGAAGAGAAACAUUAGCUGAACUGUGUACUAGUAGCUAUAGGUCAAGUGUGUGCAUUUAAGUCUUUAUAUGUGCUGAAAAAAAAUGCAUAUUAGAUAUAAUUUGCUUUGCUGUUAUGACAUUAAUGCUAGAGCUUAUGAUAGAACAUCUUAUCGUAUUGAGGUAUUAGGUUAAAAAUUAUUGAAGGGAAUAUGUGAAGUCAGUUACUGGAAACAAAUUCAUAUAAAUUUGUUCUGGUUCAAAGUGCACCAGGAGCUUAAAUGUCCGUACCAUCCCUAACAAGCUCAAUCACCAUAUUGUACUAUUUUAGGUUUAUCUUAUAUAUAAGACUCAGAAAUCACAGGAUGGAGAUAUGUACUUCAGUUUUCAAAGAGUCCGCAACAUUCAUUAUAAAGUAUGUCACAAGAUGAUGUUAUGCCCUUGUUAUUUACGCUAUAACAUGGAAAAUUAUAACACUGAGCGUGAUGUUUCUUAUUAGGUAUAACAUAAACAAUAGACUAAGUUUCUGUGUUUUGUUGAUAUCAGAAUUUUGAUAUACUGAUUUACUUGCAUGGCAGAGGCGCUGUUCGUUUUUAUCCAAAAGGUUCAUCGUCAUGCAUAGUAGAAGUGAGGCUGCUUUCUUCUAUAUUGAAUUUGAAUUGCUCACAAUUAUAUUUAUAUUGUUAUGGAUCUUCUGUAUCCAUCAGUUCCAAUCAAUGACAGAUAGGCAGUGUUUAGUGCAUUCAAUCGGGCAUAUGAAGGCCAUUCAAUUGAUGCUGCUCAGAUCAUUGAUUUUCAGUUUGAUUAUUUGAAAUACAUUUCUAUGCCCCUGGCCAUCAAUUGAACAGCCCGAUGUCUUUUCGUCUAAAGUAACAUCAGUGGUGUCACUGACUUGGUUUUCCUGUUCUGGCCUUUUCUGAGGAAGAACUAGGAAAAAUACACUUCUAUUUCUUAGUCUCUGUCGGGUAGCUCAAAUUGUUUCUUUUUGUUUUUCUCUUUCAGCUAACCGUCUCUUAUGAAGUUCCUGCAAUUUUGGUUCCAGUGGCAUCAGUAAGUACUCUAGCUACAGAUAACAUAUCAGACUCCAUGUAAUGCAAGUUAUAUGACAUAGGAUACUAGCAACCCUCUCUCUAACUCCUAAUGACAUUUAACAAAAAGAAAAAGGAAAAAUAAACUUUAGAUAGAGGGAGAGAGGGAGAGGGCUAAUAUCAAAUAAAUUGACAGUUUGUCAUCAGAAUCAGACUUCUGCAACCGUAGAUUUGUUUGAUAUUCUUACUAAGAUAAUUUUAGAUGAUGAAAUAUUGAAAUGUGCCUUUCUGAUAAUAAUACAUUACUACAGUAGGAAAUGACAAGAAAUGGAGAAUGUCUAAACACUAAAGGAAAUGUACACUUGUUAUGUGGCUUGAUUGCAUCGCAUAAAGAAAUAUAGCAAAUGUUGUUUGUUCGAAGCAGUCCCUCAUUUUGAUUCGUAUGGCAUGUUCCAGGCACUGCAACCUUUUACUGAAAGUUUACUUGCACGCGGCUUGGAAAGGUUUGCAACAUUUGCGAAAAGCUACAAAUCGGACUCAACUGUUUGAUGUUACAUAUGGUAACUGAACUUGUAAACGGGUGAUCAUUUUAAUGUGCAGUGAUUGCCAUAGAUUCAUUUAACAUGGCAAAUUAAUAUUUCCAAUGGAAUCUGAUUUUUCACCAAGGCAAACAAGUGGCUUCAUUUCAUUAAUGAUCUACCAGAGAGCUGCCAUUUUACUGUGUUAUACAUACGACAGAAUAUUAUCAAGAAUACAUCAUUUCUUUUUUCAAUACUCUUGUAGUUCUUGUUGCUCAGAUUGUUGGAUCACCAAAGGCUUAGCCAAAUACUUGAGCUACCAAGGCGUAACCGCAACUGUAGUUGGUCUUAUGCAACACGCUGAAAGAACAUGACUGUUUUUGUAGCGAUAGAUAUGAUCUUUCUAUAAAACGAAAGAACUGAUGAUGGAUGAGUAGUCUGUGCCCCAAAACAGUUUAGAGUUGAGAAAACUAACAGAGUCACUAGCAAGCUCGUCCAGUGCGGAAUACAUGUUGCUGGUUAGGUUAGCCAAGCUUCGAAAAGUAAAUGCCUCUUUGGGGAUGAAAAAAAAAGCUAAAAAGAUCUCAGAUAUUAAUGAUGACAAUGUACAUAGAUACAAAUCAGUGGAUCUACAACAGAUGGACAAUCUAUGGACUGCUGACGAUAAGAAUGCCUCAACAUACGGCUUUUACAACACAACCUGCAUCCGCCUCCCCAUUCUUAUGUAUAUGUACAUCAAAUCCUGAGCUGAGCUCACUGGGCCAGGCGAAGAUGAGAAACUGAAACACCGACAAAACUGGUAGCUGCCAUCUCAUAAAUGAAGCAGCCAAAACAAUGUAUGAACACUCUCUUGACAAGAAGACAUUUAUCAGAGAAGUUGAAUGUGCAAUCAGCCACUGCUGUCCAACAAGUUCCUCAGGCUACAAAGGGCCUCCGCAGAGAGGCUGCAACACCUAUAUCUUCGUUCCCGAGGCGGUGAUAAUGGUUCCCGCUGAUCAAGAGAAGAGAAGCACACAACAAUCACUGUAAGAUUAUCAAACGUGUUGAGGCGAAGAGCCUCCAUGACUAGAUCCUUGGCACACUGCUCUGGGUCAUCAUGCCGCCGCAGCCCACGGCGAACAAGGCUAACUGCAUGCUGACUUGACAUCACAUCCCAGAUCCCAUCACACCCUAUAAUGAGAAACUCAUCUUCCUCUGUUAAAUCCAUCCUUCGGAACUCUGGUUCAGCUAUAAGGGGUGAAGCAGAACCACGAGGAAACUUCAUGUCCCAGUCACCUAAGGCUCGGGAAACUGAUAAGACACCAUUCAGAUACCCAUCAUCAACAUAUCCCCCCAGUUCUUCAACUCUCUUGCGUUCAGAGGGAUAAAUUGGCCUAUGGUCUUGGGACAUAUCAAUUGCCUCUCCCUUCCUGCAGAGAACAGCUCGACAAUCACCAGCAUUGGCUACUAUCAAAAGCCUGAAAAAAAAAAAAAAAAAAAAAAAGGAAAACAAGUUCAAUCACAAGUGGAAGAGAAUUAAAAGUAGAUAAUGGACAUAUAUACAGGAACUAAUGCCACACAGCCCAAGUUGAAUCAAAUGAGAUAUCGACCUCUUCUUCUUGAGAAACUAAUAAAGAAACACUGACAGAGUAAAAUGACAGCAGAUGAUUGUAAGGAUUUGGUUAUUAUCUAAUUACAGACUACGUCAACGAAAUAGUCUUUUCCUUUUGGUACAGUAAGAAGGGAAGUAAGAGAAUUCUAAGCAGAUAUAUACCUUCCAAAGAUCAUAGCAGUUAGUGCUGUUGUCCCAGAUGAACUGCUUACGCUGCAGUCAUCUGCCAAUGCAAGGUCUACCUGAUGAAAUGCGUUACUUAGAGUAGUCUCCAGCUCCUCUAAGAAAAUCUUAUUAACCUCAGAAGCUCGGGGAAAAUUGACAUCAUCAAACAAGAGUCUCAUCACAUUUUUUCGAACAUAAGCUGCUGCUUCAGGUCCUCCAUGUCCAUCAAAUACCUAUACAACAUGUCCAAUUAAAGUAAGCUUCAAAAUCAUGUUUUAUUCAAAAAAAAAAAAAAAGUAAAAGCUUAAAAACUAGAAACCAGAGUAAGUUUAUUACAAUGGCAAACUCAGAAAUAUCAUUACCCCAUAAAAAGCACUUGGGGUGGGAAAACUAAAGAGCGAUCCCAAGUGUGAAGAUAGAUCAUCUAUCAGUAUAUGUUCAUCUUCCAUGUAUCUACGGGGUCCAAUGUCAGCGAAGCUACCAGAACGGAGCCUGGGAAAGAAUUCCUGGUCAGCCGUCUCAUGAGCCAAGUCUGAAACUUUAUCUGCCGGUUUACCAUCCUGAAAAGAAGUAAUAGAAAAAGAUCAAUACAUGUUAGGCACUUUAAACUAGUUAGAUUGCACCCGGAAGCAUUAUUUCUAAUUAGCAGCAGUUCAAACUUCAAGUUCAAUUUUGAUCAAAUCUUAUAACACUGAGGGAAGUAUUAUGCUGACAAUAAUAUUUGGAUUAAGAGUUUAUAAAGCUGAAACAUGAGCCAAAUGCCCAGAUUUCAAGUACUUAAACCUCAGAUACUAUCAUCAACAUUUUGAUGACUACACAGAUUGUUUCUAAUAGAUUGCUCCUUUGCCAAAUAAUAAAAGCACAUAUUCAUCAACACAAUUCUCUUUUUUGGGACCCCAGAAAGCAAAUGAUCCAACAGAGUUUCAACUGAAAACUAUCAGGGUCGACAUAAUGAUGACUAAACACAACAUCAUUCUUAUUUUCACCUAACCCUUUUUGAGUGAUGCAAUCAUAUUUUAUUACAUCUACCCGAAUCAUUGACAAGGUACCUGACAAAGAAUCAAAUUAACCUUUACCUUGUAAAAACUAUCUUUGCAUUGGUAAGAACGAUUAUCAUGUCUAUUAAUUUGUUACUUUUCUAUCUGUAAUUGAACUGAUCCAAGACUCUUUUUUAUCUUAAACCAAGUCAGCAAUCCAAAACAACCCAGGCCUACUGUUAAGCAAAACAUCAAACCCAGAUAGUAACUAACUAACCCAGAUAGGAGAUCAAAUAAUCACAAAAGAAGACAACUAUUGAAGAUCAGAAAUUAUAAAACUCACAGGUUGGGCAGCAGGGGAAACCGACUCCAGAGGGCGAGUUGGGUCAAACAAAGUCUUCGGAGAAAUCGAUGCAACUACAUCUUCAACAACCUCAUGAACGUUCAUCCCUUUACCAAACACCUCAACGUUCUGCUGACACAUGAUCUUAGUUUCUGCCACCAUUUUCACUCACAAACAUACCACAAACUAAUCCCACUACACAAUUUCUCAAACUUGAACAACUCGAACAACACAACUUUUACCGACGACCAGGUGAUUCGUAUAUUUGUCUCGCGGCUUCUAGAGAGGAGUUGGAUGAAAUGGGUUGAAAAAUUUGGAGGAGUUUGGGUUGAGCUCGCUUUUAUAUGAAACAAAAGGUGACCGGGUACCGGUGGCGUUGUUAGGUCCGGGUACACGUGUCGGCUUUCUGAGGCUUACUGUUGAGUGCACAUGUUGAGGGGUGACUUGGCAUGUUUGCGGACGCGUGACCCUUUGGACCAUUUCCACGUAAUUACAAAAACGCCCUUCCUCUUGUUUCCUCGACCUUCCUGGAAGGUGAGUGAGUUGUCCAACUAGUCGGGUUGACUUUUUGUACGGUGGGAAUCGGGAUAUUUGAGGGGUAAUCUGGACAAUGUGUGGGACAGAGUUGUGAUCUCGGCGUUCACGCUGACGGGUUGGUGACGAGAGCAAUGAGAGACAGUUAGGAGUAGAAGGACGUGAAUGCCCCUCGUUGGAGUAACAUGCGUAGCUUCUUGAAAUCGAACUUGUAAAACGCGCACGAGUAACGUUGCGCGGCAAAGUCAACACGGUAAUUUGGACGCGUCAACGGUCUCUAGUCAAAAGGGUAACUCGUCCUUGCAAAGGUACAACUUAUCCACACAUUUGUUUGUGCAUACGUGAACCUAGGCCGACAAUCGAUUAUUCAUACGCGGCAAGAUAAUCGAUUAUCCAUUUCAGAAUUAUAAGAGAAUCUUUAGAUUUAGAUUAUCUAAAGCAUGCAUUUGUUUUACAAUCUUAGCUUAGCAUGUUUUGCACCUUAGAGGAGCCAGAUUCGAUAAUUUGAUUAUCAACCUGCAAAUGGUAGAUAAGAUGCAGAUGAUUGACUCAUUAGCAGAUACACUUUGGGACAAACCAUUACCCACACCAAACUUUGGGGCAGACAUACUUUUCAUUACUAUAUAGAGAUGAGUUAUUGAGUUUAUCUGGAAGACUCAAUUUGGCAAGUGAUGGACGCAAGUAGAAUAUAGUAAUAGGACACGAUAUAGUUCACCUUCCGCCGUGGUCCUAGCUAAUUAUAUAUGCUUUUAAGGUAAAAUUUUGUGUUUAUCAAUUGGCAAGUAGUAAAUUCCUUUACGUAGGUUGACCCAAAAAGACCUUGCAUGAUUGCCUCGUGCCUUAAAUAGAAGUAAUCAUUAGCAUCACGGGAAGGAGUAGGACUAUCUAGUCCUAUCAUAUAUUAAUCAGGAUCCUUGUACAGCUGGUUUGAUUCUACUGGAAGUUUAUGAUUUACGUUCUAAAUUCUUAUCCAGGUGAUCUAAACUGGUCUGGUUCGGUUAGGUACUUAUGUCCAAUUAUUUGUGCCCUUAGUUUCAGCUGUCAAGAUAAUUAGCUAGGUAGCGUUUGGAACCUGGUGCUAGCUAACUCGAAUUACUAUAUCCAAAUCUCUACCAUCAAAACAAAAAAGUUCUUUCCUAAUAUAUAGUCGAUUAGGUCCAGGGCUGCAGAAUGCAGACACAUAUGAUAUGAAUCUGUUUUAAAUUUAGGGUAAAGUGGGUUUGGUGGUCCGACUGCUCGAUCAAUUAGUCACUAACCAUACGUAUAUAUGGUUCGAAAUAAAAUUCAAUAUGAUGACGACUAAGACUCGGUAAUUGCUAAAUUAAUCUGAGCCCUAUCCUAGCUCCGUCCAAACUCCAAAGAUUAACUGGUGGCGGAUUCCCUGGCCCUAAACUUGCUUUGUUGAUUGUUAUUGUCAUUCAUUGUGUAGUGUAGCUAGGGUUCAUGCGUGGUUGGCCUAGGCGCCUAGCCGAUGUUCGAGAAGAAUAAGAUUCUUUGUUAUGAAAGAUUGCAGAUACAUAAUAUGAGUGUGACGUCUAGCUACGGUCUCUCCCUCGUUCACAACCCAAUUGCAGUCGGGAUGUUUAUCCUUUUUUUUUUUUGAUCAAAUAAGAUGCAUUCAUACGGAAGAUGUUACAAGUGGUAUGAAUAAUACAAGUAGGGCCACUAAUAGACCAUUUAUAACAAAUCUCAGACCGAGAGGCCUGAAAAAUGAUUUCCUAAAAGAGCUCCUAAAUCUCCGGUACACCACGAGACAAGAAAAUGAUCAUUAAUACCAGAAGACUCGUCCGACAAAUUGCCAACAAAGUUGGUAAGAAAGCGUCAGCAUCCCAACGGGUAGCGGCUCUAACCCCAUGAAGGACAAAUGCUCGAGUCAACUCCGCCUCCUGAUUAGUGAAUACACGUGAUAAUUGCGGGUGUAAACCGUCAUCACUAUAUCAGCGGUGUAUUGUAAUCAGCCCAAGCACGACCACAAAGGAUCAAAAUUAUUCAAACACAGAAAAACUUAACAAGCAGACACAAUAAGCAAAUAAACUAGAGAGAUACAGAAAACCUCAUGGGUCAACGAGACCAGACCCAAAGCUGGAAAGGCCCAAAAGCCCCAUCCGAGGCCCAGUCCAAGCUAGCCUUGGCCCAGACCCAAGAGCACCCCAACUUCUGCUACCAUCAGCGACCCCCAAAGCCGACCCUCAACGCCUCUGCCCUACUAUCGUCAGUUGAUAAUCUAGGCCAACACCCACCGGCCUACCUCGUCGCUACCGUCGAAGCAUCCUUUUUUAGAUCGGCAACCCACCUCACCUUGCUUCAACCAACCCCUAGGACAUUUCACCAAAGACAUCAGAUCACCAUAGAUCCUCACCACAAUCAGCUACAUGCCCAGACUAGCCCGAUCUGAACAAGAGAACUGUAAUAUCCCGGAAUUUUGGUUUUCUAUUUUUAAAAAGAAAAUUAUUUUGGGCCAAUUACAUAGAAGUCCACUUUCACACAUUUUCUUCCACAUAAAUCCACCCAAACAUUUUUACUCAUAUAAGUCCACCUAAGCCUAAAUAAGGUUUUAUAUUAGGUAUAGAGGUUGAACAAAAUUACAGACUGUCAUCUAAAAAAAAAAAUUAGAUUCUCCCCUUUAUAUUUACAAGAAUGCCACUAGUAUAUAAAGUCAACAACCACUCUCAUAUCAGAAAAGUCUCCAGCCGACGUCCGGCGAGGUUUCCGACAGACCUCCGACGAGGUUUCCGACGAUGACAAAAAUUACUACUACCAGUUACAAAAGCUACUACCACCAGCUAUAAAAGCUACUACCACCGCCUACAAAAGCUACUACCACCAGCCACAAAAGCUACUACCACCGCCUACAAAAGCUACUACUGUGAGGUUUCCGACGAACACAACAACUACUACCACCAACCACAAAAUCUACUACCACCAGCUACAAAAGCUACUACCACCGCCUACAAAAGCUACUACUGUGAGGUUUUCGACGAACACAAAAGCUACUACCACCAGCCACAAAAGCUACUACCACUGUCGACAAAAGCUACUACUGUGAGGUUUCUGACGAACACAAAAACUACUACCACUAGCCACAAAAACUACUACCACCAACUACAAAAGCUACUACCACCGCCUACCGUCAACGUGUGAAAAAAAUACUAUCACAGUGUGAAAAAUAUACUAUCACCGUGUCGAAAAUAUACUAUUACUAUGUUGAAAAUGUAUUAUUCUACAAUGAUGCUGAUACAUAGUUACAGAUCUCAAUUUCAUUCGUCUCAUACACUAUCAGAACACGAUUUCGUGAUUUCUCUUCCAGUAAAUUUCUAUUGAAUUACAAAUUCCAAACGAAGAGCGACAUUAAUACAGAACAACAGCCUAAUCUUUGUUUACAAAUUCUCAAAACAAACAAACAACUCCAACCAAAUUACAAUCGCAUCUUACCAGAAAUGUCACCUCCAAAGGAAGAUCUGGAUCUUCAAGCCGCCUUUAGAUCUGGUACUUCUUGNNNNNNNNNNNNNNNNNNNNGAGAGAGAGAGAGAUUUCAAUGGGAAAAAGAGAAACUGAUUUUUGGUAGAGAGAGGGGAGGGUAUUUUGGGUAUGGUGUAAAAGUAAUAUGACAAAUCUGACCCAUAAAAUGGACUUAUAUAGGUAAAAAAGUUAAAGUGGCCUUAUGAAGAAAAAAAUGUUGAAAAACUGACUUUAAUGAAAUUUUCUAUUGGUAUUAUCCAAAUUUUUAUUAAAAUAGAAUUUUGUAGCGGCUAGAUCUGGACUGUUGGAGUUUAAACCGCAAGAUCUUGAUUGUUCAUUUGAGAUUAUAUUUGGGAACGGAUAAAGCGGUAGAACAGAAGACAAAACCCAGACCGACUUCGGUCUCGAGUUGCUCUGCAGCGACGGAGCUCAGCUCCCUCCUCCGUCGUCCGGCCGCCUCCCGGUGCAAGGCUGGUAUCCACAGGUCCGUCUCGUUGUCCCCGUCCUCAAGAUGAUCUUCGUUUUCGAUGGGAAGCUCCGGUGAGAGAGAAAAGGAGGAGAAGAAUUUCUAGGUUUCCGAUCGAGUUCGUGACUCCGGCCACGGCGGCGAGCGUGACCGGUAUUGGUAGCUUCGACUCGUCCUCCCCAUCCUCCCUGCGGUCUCUAUUUCGUCAAAGGAGCGUCGAUGAGAGAGAAUUGAGCAGAGGAAUGUUUUAGGUUUUAGGCCGUGUUCUUGAUGUUUUCCGGCCACCGGCGAAGGCAAGCGAGGUAUCAAUCUUCAUCUAAUCGUCGAGCUUUACAUGUUUCUAUAAUUGAAAUUGAGUUUGGAUUAAGUUUGGAAGAAUUUGGGUAUUGGGGCAGUGUUGUGGUGGCUGUUGUUCAUAACGGCAGUGGUGGAGGAGUUGUCCAAUUGCUUGUUAUCUUGUGAAGUUUAUAUUGAUGCUCUCUAAAUAGGUUGGCUUUGUUAAGCUUGAUUUUAUAUUGUCGAGAGUUGGAUUAUCAUAACGAAGAACUGGUGUUGCUCGAGAGUUAGGAAGAAUAAUUGCUGCUAUUUUGGCUAUUAUUAAUAGAUGUUGUUUUGGCUAUUAUUGAGGUGUGCCUUACGAAAUGAAUGGAAUUAGGAGCUUUGUUUUUCAAGAUAGAGGAGCUGAGUCAUGUGGAAGUGCAAUUAUAGGACAAAUUGAGAAGGCUGUUGUGUUUGUGAUGGUUACUGUGCUUGGAGUCCACAAUGGUGGUGAUCGUGAUCAUACUUGAAGAUAUGGAGAAUUGGAUUUACUUUAUUGUCAAGGGAAGUUGGUAAUUAUAGAUUUUGGUCAAGAACUUUUCUAUGGUGAGCAGUGAUGGUCUUAAAGUUUAUUUGGCAAUCCGGCUAGAGCAUGAGAAUAUGUAAUUUGGUUGAGAGUAACAUUGGGUGUCCUUGGUAGUUUUCAAGGACUUGAUCACAUUGAUUUGAAGUGAUCCGCCGACUUUCUCGGAAAGAGGAUUUGAUACGAGGAUCGAGUGCGAGUUGCAAGAUUCCAGAAGCAGAAGGAUAAGGAUUUCAGAAGCGUGUUGCAAUGUUACUAAUUUUAAUUGGCGUCGAAGCUAGCGCUUGGAUUUCAGGUAGGGUCUUUCUCGGGGAACCUUUAUUUAAAUUGAUAAUUAGAUUAUUAAUGAAAUUGUUGGUUUGUGUGGCAUUGAUUGAUAACUCUUGAUUGUUGAUUGUUAUUGUUUUCCUUAAAAGCAUGUGUAAUCGUUGAUUUAUAUGAUUGAUGUUAUUGCUUUCCUUAAAAACAUGUGUUUGAUAUUAUUAUAUUACGCGUAUCGAUACUUGAUUGCAUACAUAAUGCAUUGUGAGGAAUUGUGAGGAUAAUGAGAUUAGUGAUUAUGGAGAGAAGUGAAUGAGAUCGAUAGAAUAGAUACAUUUUGUGUAGUUGAGUUUCCUCAUGGGGACUUCCAGUAGCUAUGAUCAGCCCACUUGCGCAAAUGAGUUGGGAAAGUAUGCCCUUUCGACGUAUGAGUCGAUAAAACAAUCUUUCGGGUUUCGGGACUGUGGACCAUGAAGGUUAACAAAAGACUAACAAAAGAGAUACUAGAGUUUAUAUAUUACUGAUUUGUUAGGUCGUAUAUUCGAGACAAUCUACACGGUAUGAGACGUGUAGGUACAUUUGUCUUGGGUGUAUGGACUAAUUAGCCAGUAAUAGAGUGGAGAGAGUGCAUUAGCAUUUAUGCAUCAUUUUUGUCGUUAUUUAUUUAAAGUAUUGUUGGAUGCUUGAUAACUUGGUUGUUUAACAUAGUUAAGUAUAACCUAAAGAGGUUUGGCCCUACUGAGCGUAAGCUCACCUCUAUAGAUUUUUGUUCAGGUGUACGAGUACGACACGUAUUUCUAGAAGACUAACUGUGAAGUUAGCUUACGUGUACAAAAGUCGAGAAGUACGGAAGAUUAGAAGUGAGCUAGACCUUAAGACUUAUUUUGUUUUUGUAAUUAGUUUUGUUAUUUGUAAACGUUUUAUUUUCUUUUAUUUUUACAAUUUCUAGAAAAGUAUUUGAAAUUGUUUUAGUUUCUUUUACUUUUCCCGCUCAAGUCUCGGGUUUGGCGUCAGGUGCUUGGAAACCACCGACACCGGGUUCGAGGUGUGACAAGAACACUAGAUCGAGGCACACAACCCCCUAACAUCUACCUCUCCACCAACACUGCAUUUAGAUCUCCAUUGCUUCCCAAUCAAAACGGAACUGCAACUGACACUUCCAUUCACUUCCUAGCCAAACCAGACACCAAGCCAAGAUGGUAGAAAGAGGCUAGGGCAAACAAAAGCAUCUGCCGGCGUUCUUGCCGUUGCGUCUCGGCUGGGAGAAGAGCAACUCUCUCUCUAGCUUUUUCUUUUUGCUGGCUCGUUCUAGGCGCGUGGAAGAAGAAGAGGGAUGUUCCUCUCGGUGUUAGGAUGUUAUCCUGAAUGACCUUACCUGGUGCAAAGGCACCUUGGUUCUUCAAAAUGUAUUUUUUUAAAAGUGGUCUUAAGCGCUUAACUAUGAUUUUUUGUGAUAAUUUUGUAGGUGACAUUACACAGACUAAUUGGCCUAAAUCGAGAAACAAACUUCUCAAUCUUAGGGAUUAAGAGCAUCUCUAACAACUUUCCCAUUUUCUUGAUUUUAUCAAUUUUAGAGAAUAUUGGGUUGUUUUGUGGUCCAAUUUCCUCAUCUCAUUCCCUAAAAUGGGGAUGGAGAAGAAAGAAAAGCACUUCUUCCCCAAAUUUGUAGCAAAGCCUUUUUUCCCCAAAUAUUAAUUAUUUACGUGUUCCAACGAUAAGAACAAAAAUCUAGAAUAUUUUAUUGUGUAAUUUAUGUUAAAAUAAAAUAUAUGAUUUUUUUUUUGUUAUUAUUAAUAAUCAUGUAACAUAUUUUAUUGUUGUAAUAAAUGCUGAAAUCUCUAAAAUGGAGAAGCUGUUGGAGUUGGAGCAUAAUUUUUUUAGAGAUUUUGGCUUUUGUUUUCCUAUUUUAGAGAAAUUUUAAGGAAGCUGUUGGAGAUGCUCUAAGGCAAUAUUAGUAUGGUUGAUAUCAUUUAAAGGGAAGUUUUUUGAGAAAAAAAUAUUUAAUCCAAGAUAUAGUCUUGGUCAUUACAAAUUUCAUUACUCAUUGAGUGGUACCGGUAGCAAUAACAAGUCUUAUACAAACGGAAGGAUUCGUUUAUCUCAAAGUCCAUUACUUUGUACAUGGUAAUGAAUCCAGAGAUAUACCAGUUUCACAAAAAACAGAUGCUACUGACACUGAAGCUGUAAAUUCAUAGUCCUAUACUAUGUCGGAGUUGUUGGAAUUGUCGUGAAUAGCUGACGUUUAAUGUUACUUUCGUGUCCUAAAACAUAUAGGGUAUGUUUGUUUGUUUCAAGGGACUAUCUAACCUAGGCAUAUUUUCUUCAUUAGUCAUGCACUCCAUAAGCUUGCCUUAUGCUAUAGAUGCCUUAACCCAUGUUUGGUACCAGAUCACUAUAAUUAAAACCAACACCAUCGACAACACCAACCUGCAAAAUCUUCACCAUCUCGGGUCAUCAAUUUCAUACAUCAAUCAUCUUCUUUAUGCUCAAUUCAUGUAUGACUUCUCUUGUCCCCCAUAAUAUAUAUGAACAAGAUAGAAUAAGAUCUAGUGUUAUCCAUCAAUUCAAUUUCUUGUUUUGCUGCUACUGCUGCAACUAAUAAUCAAUUCAGACGAAGACAAGUUGAAGAAGAAUUGUCGACGAGAUAUUUUUCAAUCAAUUGGACAAUAAUUGGUGGUUUACAUGGUUCUGCGACCUACGAUCCGUUCUUCAAUCUUGACCCAAAAACCCUGCAAAUCAGCGAUAAUCCGUAGAUAUCACGUAGUCUCUCGGUCUCUCCUAUGCUUGAUAGAAAACCCAAACGGUGACAACGAAAAGACCAAACACUCAAAAAGAAAGUAACUCAAACACUAGCGUCGUUUGUUUGUACUGUACCUACUUGUUCUGUGACUUGUGUUUUCUGUCUCGCCUCUCUACCUUUUCUUUUCGAUAUACACUCGAUCUCUCUGCGACCCACAACCGAUUUCAAAUGGCUGGAGCAACUUCGACUACCUACUUGUCGUCCCCUACAACCCGGAAAUUAAUUCAAGUCACUCAUAUUCCAAAACGGCGACGUCGAUUGGGUGCGAACCGAUGGCCAUGCAUGAUUUCCACCAAUGCAGACCUGCCUGUAACCCUUCCCCUCUCUCUCUCUCUCUCUCAAAGUUCCUUUAUUCUUUGUUUCUACAUUUAGUUUGGCACUCUUGAUUUAUGGCUAGCUAUUGUUUUGAAUUCAGAGAACUGAGCUUUAUGGGUUUAGUUUGGUUUGAACUGCAUCGUUUUGUUUACGUCUUUCUUACGUACAAUGUACUGCUCUAUGACAUUUAGCUCUUACUGGGUUGCUUUCUUAAAAUAUACUGUUUUUCUAUACUAGCUAACAUUGGUUGUUGAGUGUGCUUUUGCCUUGAACAUUAUUGGGGUUCAAAGUUUUUCCCUGUUUGAUUGUUGAUGGUAGGUUGUUAGAUGUCCUUUACUAAACACGAAACAAGUGUACUUCUUACGGAUGUUUUGUUAUGAAGUUUUUUGCUAUGAGAAUAUGUGAUAGAAAGAGAGAUAAUAGCACUACGUGUUUGCAAUUGUAUGGUUUGAGUAUGAAAAUAUGGUGAAAAUCCUUGUUAAUAAACCUGAAUUGGAUAGUUAUAAGCUUGACUACAUUUGAAAUAGGCGUUCCUAGUGAAUUUCUAUAGGUUCUUCGUUCUCGUGACCUCUUUACAGAAAUGUGCUCAUGGACCUUGUUUAUAUUGUCUUAUCCCUUCUAACUAGAGUUUGUAUCUAUACUCGUAAGAAGGUAUGUGUUUAGAAACGGACUCUUUUUUGAAACUCAAGGGAAUUUUACAAAUCCCUGUUCUCUUCUGUAAAUGGAUUACUGUAAACUAAAAUUUGCUCAAUUUCUAUGUCGUUGUGUGGUUACAUUAUUACGCACUUAAAGAAAUUCAAGUUUGUUGGUAAUUUAUAGUUUUCAAGAUUGGUGUUGUAAAUGCUGUUGCCCGGUCUGCGUAUGCAGAUCGAAUUCGGAAAUACCAAGGUCAUUGUUUCUGUGUGGGUAUAUCUUUUAGAUCCAUACUUUUACUGACUCAUCAAUUCAUAAUCGUGAUCAAUAAAUUUCAUAAUCCGUUGAGUUGCCUUUCCGCUGUUUUUACUUUUGAACUUUAGAUUGAUCCCUCAUGGCUCAUGCAAAUAUGAGAUGUAUUUAAACUUUACUUUUGGUUUGUUUAGAUUUGAGCCAAGAGAGAGUAAGAAGGCAAUGUUGUACAGUGAUAUACUGAUAUAGGCCGGUUGAAUUCUAAUGUGACUUGUACAACUUUGGAAAGGUAUAUGAUUGUGUUAAUGCAUCUUAUGAUAAUUUUUUGUUAGUCUUCUUUCCCAGUGACAACGAUGUGACUAAUGUUUGGACCGUGUUGUUUUAGGGGUCAAACCACAAAGAGUUUUCUUCACUGCUUCAUAUAGCUUUAGAGGGUGCAAUUUUGCUGGAAACUUUCCCCAAGACUACUGUGGAUGUCUUUGCAUUGGUGUUUGAAUCUGAAGGCAGUAAGCUUUUCAACUUAAAUUUUGUUUAAUUUAUUUUACGUUGAUAAGAAUGAUGAAAAAGAAAAUGACAAGAGAAGAGAAGAGAGUUUAAAUUGAUUUUCUUCAUUGUACGAGAAUAGUAGAAUACUACACUAGCAAGAUAUUUAUAUUGCUCGAAACUGAAUACUGGCGAUGUUGCCUUUUUAUUUUUAUUUUUUUUAUUUAUAACUUUUUUUAUUAUAAACUCACGCACCCUACAUACGUCGGUGAGGUUUGAAUCUAUGACCUCAACAUUGUUGGUUAGCCUACCUAACCAACCAAGCCACAGCUUACCGACCUGGCGACGUUGCCUUUGAGUAUACGAAUCUUACUUUGACUCAAGUUUGGUUUACGGUUUACCAAGAUUUUGUUGUUAGGGAAAGUUUAUGCGUUUGGAAAUUAUCUCAUUGCUAACUAGCGCUGUUACGUUAAAUGAAUUGAAGAGCUUUAUAUUUGUUAGAGUUAGUGGUGUUAAAGUUGUAACUAUAUAGAAAAGUCAUCUGUACGAAUCUGUUGAUACCCAAAAAAUCAAUAUUUAUGCUCAAUAGAUAUUCCAAGCUCAAUAAAGAAAUACGCAUGAAAAUCACAUUCGAAAUAAAAAAAAUUAUAUAUUUAUUCGAAUAUUCAUGCCACGCACGGGGACUCAAGCCACAACCACGUUUUUGGGGCUUACAAAUUUAGGUGUGGUGUGGAAGGUAACAGAAGUACACGAAGUCCAUUAUAGAUGUUACAUCAUUGGCGGUUUUGGACUUGGGACCGAAACCCAGGCCUAAUAAUGUAAAUAUUUAUAUGGGCAUGCAAAAAAGAGAGAAUCCUUAAUGCAGUAGAUUACACCGCAACAGACCUUUAGCCGCAGCAAGCCUCUCAUCUUUUGCAACUCAUGUGCUUCCAGCUCCCACGCUUUAUGCCUUCUUGCAAGCUCUUUCAUGUAUUUUGUUUAUUUGUCAUGUUAUCAAAAUCACGCCAAGUUACUGCCAAUAUAUCACAAGAAGCAUGCCACUGCAGCAAGUUACUGCAGGGAGACCGGGGAAAACACGCACAAACCUCCUAGAAGCUUUGGGCCCAGUUCUUGAACUUAGAGGGGUAAAUAGAGGAGAUCAAUCUAAUCUAUCAAUCCUAGCGGUCUCGGUUCAAAAUGACCCCAACAAAAUCGUACUAAAUCAGGAAGUGAUUGGGGAAUUGAAGCCAAAUACAAGGACAAUAUCAAUGUUAUAGAAUCAUUGUUGCAAUUGUGCCAUUCACUGUGUCAUUUUUUGUACCACAUAGUCCCUACAACAAUUCUAGUGAAUGUAAGAAUGAUAUUGGUAUUAUGAAGGCUGAUGGGCUAUGUCAUUUUGCUUGCAGGUGAUCUUCCUGUGGUGAUAUCAUGUGCUAGUCUUGCACUAAAGCAGAUGCAGGGAUCAUGAUGUAUGACCUUGUUGCUUCAGUAUCUGUGGUAUGUAUCUGGGUAGACAUCUGGCCCUUUCAACUUCCUCAUAAUUAAGCAAAAAACAAUAUGUUGUUGCUGACUGUCCUAUUGUAUUUCUUUGUAUAGGAUUAAGAAUUUGAACUUGAGCACAUAUGAAAUAAUGGAAGUGUGAUGGCUGAUUGUCGUAUUAUUUUAUUUUUCUUUGUUUUUUGUUCGGUUAUUCAGUUAAAUACCAUUAUACAAAACUUUUGUUAAGCUGUAUCCUUUCUGUUUCAUCCGAUUAGCUAGUACUGUAAAUUACUUUUGUUAAGCUAUAUCCCUUUUGUUUCAUCCGUUAUAUAGAAUUAUAUCCACUGAAAUACCUUCAUUUUUAUGAAACAAUGUAUUGUAUUCGAUGAGAACAGAAGAGAGAAAAGAAGAGCAUUAGGUAUGCAUCAAGCUCUUCUCUGAGCAUUUGUUUGGUUACACAAAAUUUUCACUGUCGGAUACAUUUCGCAAAAAUCUUCCUAGUCUCCACUUGCCUUCUAGAUCCCUUCCCUGCCGAGAUUUCCCUUCACCGCAUAGAUUUCCCUUCGUCAUUGCGCUCUUAAUCAGAGCCUACACUACCAGGACAAGCACUUUAGCCGACGAAAAAUUUUCGUCGGCUUGUUAGCUUAAUUCGUCGGCUAAGAUUUCGUCGGGAAAAGGUCGUCUGUGACGACUUUAGCCGACGAAAAAAAAUUUUCGUCGGCUAUAGUCCCGCAGUUUAUCCGACGAAAAACAUGUCGUCGGUUUUUUUCCCAGACUUUAGCCGACGAAACAAUUAAGAUAUUCGUCGGCUAAAGUUUGUAAAAAAANNNNNNNNNNNNNNNNNNNNUUUUUGGAGCUCGAUUUUAUCUCUCACGGCGGCGUCACUCGAUGCACCACCUGUCCAGCAAUGAAGUAGAGACGACGGCGAAGCUUUUGGGACAAGUGUGGCGGUCUCCGGUGGCUUGACGGCGGAGCUAGGCCGAGAAAAAAAUCUAGUAGGCGAAAUAGACUUCUUACCAUCCAUCUUCGGUAAAACUCCUAUAUAAAGAACUUUAGCCGACGAAAUUCUUUAUUUUCGUCGGCUAAACUCUUUUGAAACUUUUGAAAAUUUUGAAAAUUUUGGUUGACCGCCAAAAAAUUUUGAAAAUUUUUCAACUUUAGCCGACGACUUUUCAUAUAUUUUCGUCGGCUAAAGUCCUUUGAAAAUUUUCCUCCAAAUUUGGUUUACCGCCCAAAAUUUUUUGACCUUAGCUGACGACUUUUUUAAUAUCUCGUCGGCUAAAGUCUAUAAAUUCACAAAAACGCUCAUAUCUCCCUCUAUAUUACGUAGUUUGGUCAAACCUUCCACACGAAAAACUUUCACAUAGAUGAGACGCACCGCCUAUAUAAAAAUUUUGAGACAUUUGUCUUCCGACGAUAGGGCUCCCCAUAGGGAAUAAUAACGGUAAAUAGGGUUGACCGCUACUAUCGGCACCGAGAUUUUACCCGAUUUACGUGAUUUUUGAACCAUAGCCGUAUUUCACCAUUCUGAACACAUCUUAUUUCACGAGAUUUUUGAUAAUUUUGCUUCCUAUACAGAGUUGGUUCACAAAGUUGUAUAACCAACUAAACAAGUUAUACAACAUUAGUAGACACGUUGUGAUUCCGAUGACUAAAAUUCACAAACCAAAAUUCGACCGUCAGAUAUGAUCAUUAUGACGAAAGAUGUUUAUGGUAAAAAAUUUAACUGGAUCCGACAACGUUAAGGACUCGAUCGAAACGGUUAACCCUAAUCCAUCGUCACUUAUCACACGAAAACGCUCAUAUCUCCCUCUAUAUUACGUGGUUUGGUCAAACCUUCCACACAAAAAGCUCUCACGUAGAUGAGGCGCAACUGCCCAUAUAAAAAUUUUGAGACAUUUACCUUCCGACGAUAGGGCUCCCCAUAGGGAAUAAUAACGGUAAAUAGUAGACACGUGAUUCGGAUGACUAAAAUUUACAAACCAAAAUUCGACUGUCCGAUAUGAUCAUUAUGACGAAAGAUGUCUAUGGUAAAAAAUUCAACUGGAUUCGACAACGUUAAGGGCUCGAUCGAAACGGUCAACUCUAAUCGGAAAUUAGAAAACUGCAUUUUGAAGCCCUAAACGGACUCGGAUGGCCAAAAAGGCCCAUACAUCAUGGCGUUAGAAAUGAGUUUGACUCGUAGGGCCGUUACGCUUCCGGUAAGGUAUCACAAUAGUCAAUCGGACACCAAAAACCAAAUCUGCAGCAUAAUGAAUAAUAAGAGUAAAUUACAUUGACCGCAACUAUCGGCACCGAGACUUUACCGGAAUACUGUGAUUUUUCAACUGUAGACGUAUUUCACCAUUCUGGUCAUAUCUUAUUUCACGACUUUUUUGUGUUUGAAGGUUUUACGUAUAGUUUUUUUUUUCCAGAUGAGUUGUUGUCCAGAUCUGUAAAUAUAAGGCACUUUAGCAGAUGAAAUUAAGGCACUUUAGUCGACGAAAUUAUAUUUUUCGUCGGCUAAACUUUUAAAAAUUUAGUCGGCUAAAGUUCACAGACUAUAGUCGACGAAAAAAAUUAUUCAGACGACGAAAUUUUAAUUUUGUUGGCUAAAGUUGACCAUAGCCGACGAAAAUUUUUAAUUAGCCGACGAAGGGAAAUUUCGUCGGCUAAAGUCUACUUUAGCCGACGAAAAAAUAAUUCGUCGACCUGGUUUUUUUAUUUUCGUCGGCUAAAGUCUUUCUUCUGGUAGUGCUAGGUUUUGUGCUCUAAAUAUGAAACAAAAUUGAGAGAGAGAGAGAGAGAGAGAGAGAGAGAGAGAGAGAGAGAGAGAGAUCACAUUUGUUUGAAAUUUCUGAUAUUUGUAAGAGUACUUCUUUCAUUAGGUUUUGGACGAGCUGACGGCUCGUGACUAUUAGUUGGCCGUAUAUGCUACGAAAAUUGUCUUACUAGUGGUAAAAACACCUAAUAAAAAAAGUCCUUAAAAAUUAAAAAGAAACUUAUUUAAAAAUUUAGACCCUCAUAAUUGCAAACCACACAUAGAUGUGAACUUGUGCGAUUAAUCCAUCAUCACAAUCAUGUAAUCUUUGAUAAAAGCAGUCUUCUAAUCCUUAUGUUUCGGUCAGCUGCCUAUGCUUAUGAUUGAUGAGUUGGACAGAGCCUUAGACAAAUUAACAUUAGUGAAAAGCCAUUGCACGUAUGUGUGUACAAAUUAAAACUAAAAGAUCGAUAUACUUGAAUACUCUCAAGAAUCGAAAACGUAAAAUGCAAUAGAAAUGUUAUUAAUUAUUUCGAUCUUACCACAACAUACAUUGCAUAACAAUGAAAAUUCAUAGCAGUUUGGGUAACUUGUCGAGGAUACCGAUGAAAACAAAAUCUUUCCAAUAUCAUUUUAUGUUAUAUUAUUGAAACAUAAAAUGAGUGUGGUCUGUAAUUAUAUAGAGCCCUCGUAAAUUCGUAAUUAUUGGAGCGUAAAUUCAAGUAUCCCUUUUAAAACGUUUUGGGAAAUUUCAUAGAGAAAAAAAAAAAAAGUCGCAAGUACAAGAAAUUGAAAGAAAGGAGGGAAGGAAGAAAAAGUCAUGGGGAGCGCAAAACGAGUCUAUCCAACUGCCAUCAAAACAACGAGGUGGAGCUGGCCCACAGGUUUGAACGGUCAAACAAGACUGUUGAAAGUUGAAAAUCCAGACAUAAAUUUUUUGGGCUCUUGUGUUUUGAGUUUUUGACUCUCUCUCUCUCUCUCUCUUCUUCAGACAAAACCAACCCAACCGGCAACCCCAACCCUCUUGUAAUCUCUCCUCCACAUUUCAAUUCCAAUCCCUCUCUCCCCUCUCUCUGUCUCUCCUUGUUCGUUCAACUACUGGAAUCACCUUUGACGCUUUCUCCCAUUCAUCUCUGAUCAACGGCUCAUGACACACCGUCACGGCCACGCUUUCAUUUCCACAAACCACCUGUGACCCGAUCGGUAUGUCUCGAUCUCACGCUUUCUUUUCGUUUUGUUCGUUUUACUUUUCCGGCCACCGCUUACGUGUUUUUUCUUUCCGAUUGUGCUGAAUACUUUCACUCUUCAUAUGUAUUGUAUAUACAUUUUUGAUAAUUGAAUUUUUUCUUCUGCUUGUGUCAUGAUUGGUUACCAUUAAGGAUUAUUUGAAACAUAUUUUUGCUGCUUCUGUUUGAUUUCUCGGAAGUCGCUGCGCGUGUUUUGUGCUUGCUCAGUUUUCAUGAGUUCUAAUUUUUCAUUUAAUAUAUGUUGUUUUAAUUGCACCUUUUGUUGUCCACUACGCUCCCGGAGGAUUCGAUAAGUCUUCAAUCUAACCCUUCAUUUUUAGCACUAUUGAACUAUGACUUUCUCUUGAAACAAUUUUGUAUUAGAUAUUUUUUCUGGUGUUAAGAAUCUUUUUGUGUAAUGUUCAUACAACUUGAAUGUUGUUCCAUCUUGGUUUAUGUAUAUUUGACGAUGGCAAGUUGUAUCAUGUUGUUAUGUAUCAUUUUGGUUUAAAGGAGUUCCUGUUGUUUAAUGCUAAUAUGUUCAUAUGUUUUCUGUUGGUCACUAGGUCAGCCAUUGAUUUUUUUAAUUGAGGCGACAAAAGGAAUCUAGAAGACAAGUAUCUCAGUUCUUGAUUGUGCUCAUGGCCUCUGUAAGUGUGGCUCCUGCAUCUGGAUUAAGAGACCGCAGUGGAAAUACAGUUGCUCUCGACAGUUUGCCGAAUGAGAUGAAUGACAUGAAAAUUAGGGAUGACAAGGUUAGCAAUUCCCACUCAUUAUUCUGCCUCAAUAUUUGUCAUUGGAAUGUUUCUUUUGAAUAAAGUCUCCUCCUAGAUUGUGAAAUCUGAAAGUAAUGUUUUUCUUUUGACAGGAAAUGGAAGGAACUGUUGUUAAUGGUAAUAGUACCGAAACAGGUCAUAUAAUUGUCACAACUAUUGGUGGAAGAAAUGGCCUGCUGAAACAGGUGACUUUUUUGUAUGAUUUCUGUUCGUAGCUUAUGUACAGAUGCCUUUUGUUCUGUUUACUUAAAUUGAUUCUGGUAUACUUUCCUUUUCGAUGACUGUAGACAAUAAGCUAUAUGGCUGAGCGUGCUGUUGGACAUGGAUCUUUUGGAUUGGUUUUCCAGGUAAUUUUUUAAUUACAGUGGUGUGGAUUAGUUUAAUUUCAGUGACCUGUGUGAAUUGUUUCCUAACUUAGAUUUCAUUAUCAAAAUUCACCUCGUGAAAUUGCUAUUGUAAUGUUUUUAUCCAGGCCAAGUGUUUAGAAACUGGAGAAACUGUUGCUAUUAAAAAGGUUCUUCAAGACAAAAGGUACAAGAAUCGGGAGUUGCAAACCAUGCGUCUUCUAGACCACCCCAACAUUGUGUCUCUUAAACAUUGUUUCUUUUCCACAACUGAAAAGGAUGAGUUAUACCUUAACCUUGUUCUUGAGUAUGUCCCUGAGACUGUCCAUAGAGUGAUCAAACAUUAUAGUAAGAUGAACCAGAGGAUGCCGCUGAUUUAUGUUAAACUCUAUUCUUACCAGGUAUGCUUUUGCACAAGUUUAAAUUGUUUUAUGCCCUUCUCAAAAAAGAAGAAAAUUAAAGAAAAAAGAAUGAAGAGAAAUGUCUAUGGAAUACACAUUAUAUGAAUUUAGAGUGUUUUUUACUCUUUCUUUCUUUUUUUUUUUCAAAUGUUUUGUUGAACAUAGUAAAUACAAAAUAUGUUUAAUGGAAUUGGUAAUGCGCUUAAUGAAAAUGGAUAUUACUCUGGCAUUUUAUUAGCUGUUAAAUCUUGUUAUUAAUGUGCUGUUACAGAUUUGUAGAGCACUUGCUUACAUUCACAACACUAUUGGAUUGUGCCAUAGAGACAUAAAGCCUCAGAAUUUGUUGGUAAGUUGAUAUUAGUGAUGUAUUAUACCUUAAUUUUAUGUGAAAUGCAUAAACAAGUCAAUUGAUCAUCUAUCCACAUUCCCACAGGUCAAUCCACAUACUCACCAGCUUAAAAUCUGCGACUUUGGUAGUGCAAAAAUCUUGGUUUGUUUUCUGCACUGAGGCAUUUUCUGAAUAUUCUCUUAUUCUGGCUAAUUGUCAUUACACUGAAUUGGAUGUACAUGUGACAGGUAAAGGGGGAACCCAAUAUUUCUUACAUAUGUUCAAGAUACUAUCGAGCACCUGAACUUAUAUUUGGUGCAACAGAGUAUACCACAGCCAUUGACAUCUGGUCUGCUGGAUGUGUUCUCGCUGAACUUCUCCUCGGACAGGUUGGAGUUGUUCUCCUUUUAAGCUAAUUUGUUCUUUCAUUCGACUCAUUGAUGUAAAAUAUGGUAUGCUAAUUAUGAGUUACCUGUUUGUUCCAGCCUCUAUUUCCUGGGGAAAGUGGAGUAGACCAGCUUGUUGAAAUCAUUAAGGUAAUUUAGAGCUUUGAAUUAAUUAUCUCCAUUUUAAAGUCUGUUAGAGAAUGGAUGAUAGGAAAGUGAUUUAAUUGUUAUUCUCAUAACGAUUUAUCCUACUGUUUUGUAGGUUUUAGGCACACCAACGAGGGAGGAAAUUAAAUGCAUGAACCCUAAUUAUACAGAAUUUAAAUUCCCCCAAAUUAAAGCUCAUCCAUGGCACAAGGUACUUGGACUGUCACAUGUGGUUUAUUUAGUUCCAAGAAAUUUGCAUGAUAAUAUUCUUUUUAUAUAAUUAUUCACCAGAUAUUCCACAAGCGCAUGCCCGCUGAAGCCGUGGAUCUCGUAUCAAGGCUACUUCAGUACUCUCCAAACCUCAGAAGUACAGCUGUGAGUACUUUUUAUCAUAUCCAUGAUUUUAGGCUGUAUAUAUUUGAACUCAUUUUAUAUCUCCAAAGGUUUCAGUAUAUCCAAAGAUAAAAGAAAAGAAUGAACAUUAUAGCUCUAUGUCUGACAAAAGCCAGUUGUUUUAGGUUGUGUUAUAUCCUCAAAUUAUGAAAUGCCCAUUGUUUCUAUUUUGCAUGUGCAAUCCCAUGUGUAGUUGAUUAUAUCAUUAUUUGUCUGUUCUAAAUUAUCUAUGGUGUUUACGAGGAGCAUGUGCCUUUGAGAUUAGUUUUGAUAAGAAACCAGUUUUAGUGAGCUUGAGCCUUGCAUGGUACUUUGUGUGCUCAAAUCUUGUGUUCAAUGUUUUUUUUUUUUUUUUUUUUUUUUUUUUUUGGAGGCCUUGGUUCAUCCCUUCUUUGAUGAGUUACGGGACCCUAAUACCCGCCUGCCAAAUGGACGUUUCCUUCCCCCACUGUUUAAUUUCAAGGCUCAUGGUAAUAAUCAUUAUAGAAACUGUGAUUUUCGACAUUGAUUUUAUUGGAUGAGAUGUUUAAGCCUAGUUUGUAACUUUUGUUGGUGCUCUAUUCUCAUUCACUAGAACUCAAGGGAGUACCUGCAGAGAUGAUUGUCAAGCUGAUCCCAGACCAUGCAAGAAAACAGUGUGCCUUCCUUACGUCGUGAGUGUUCUUUACUUGAUGUUUUCCCUGCCCAGAUGAAAAACAAGGUCUGCUCUCCGUAAUGUGAUUGUCAUAUAUAAGAAGCAAUAUUAUUUAAAUCCUUCAUUUGUUCCCUUUAUUUGUUGUUUGUAGAGGUAGAAAGCCAAAUUAAGAAGGCUCUGCUUAUCAGAUGCUUUAAAUCUCACUGUGUUUACCUAUGUAGGAUUCCAAGUUAAAGUCCUUGUAAACCACAUGAGCACUGUUACCAGCAAAAUGUAAAUUUGCAAUGUUAACGGAUUUAAUGAAAAAUGUUUUCUUUGUGGAAAAAUGUUCAGAUGUGUUUCGUAUGAUUGUGUAUAUUUGAUCUAAUGUUCAGGUAUGUCAACAGUUGUUGCUUUAUAAAUUCAUAAACAUGAAAAUGGAUGGAAACAGUAAAGAAAGAUAUUAGGGUAGCCGCGGAUGAUGUUAGGUGAAAUUACAGUUAUUCCAUUACCUUAUUCAUGAAAAGAGAAUUUUAGGUUGACUUGCUGUUGUAAAGAUUGGUAAUGUUGGAGAAAUUGUAUGGUAAUUGUGAGGGAAAAUGAAUUUCUUGGGCAUAUACCCACUUUUUCUCCUCUUUAGAGAAAUUUGUUCAUCUUGUUGUGUUGUUAGCAAGGAUUGAAAUAUCGGUAUCGGUAUAUUUAUCGAAUAUAUCGAAGAUAUCCGGCAAAAAAUAUUGAAAAUUAGGGAAUACAUUUUUUUUUUCUGAAAUUUAUUAGAUUUACAUAUAAAUAUUACAAAAUUACAAACAUCAACUUUAUCUACAUCUAAAAAAAGACUCUAGAUGGUUGAAAAGACGCACUAUGGUCUCUCACUCCACAUCCAGAUAUCCCUUGAGGGGAAUAUUCAUUUUCCAGAAAUCACUUGAGAGUCGUGACCCUCAUUCUUCAUUGUGAUAAUGUGAUAUACCUCAGCGGAAUUACUUCUCUCAUUUUUGGAGGUGAUUUUCUUUUAUGCCCAAAAAUUUUACAGAUAUCUUUUUGAUAUGUAUCGGAGAUAUAUCGUAAAUAUCUUAAAUAUUGGAAAUAUUUGACGGAAUCGAUGAUAUAUCGGAGAUACGGUGGAAUAUAAGAUAUUUACAUCUCUAGAUAUAUAUAUCGAGAGAUAUAUCGGAUAUAUCACAGAGAUGUCAAUACGGUGGAAUACAAGUGUAAGCACCAACCACAUCCGUGAAUCAAACAUGUCAUACUGUCAUAGUGCAUGGAACUUAGCCUUUCGGGUUCAUGUAUCGUACAUGUGAGAUUUCAUAGUCAAAAGAUACUGAUUUCUUAGAGAUCAGCAUAAGAUUCAAGACAAAUCAUUUAUCAGAUAUCCAAGUGUAGUAUUUAGGUUUUUUUUUGACUGGAAGUGUAGUGUUUAGGUUAUUAUUUUUCUGCAACACAUGUUUUGAAAUGCUGGAAUUUGGUCUCUUAGUUGGUUAAAUUUUAUUUGUGACAAGGAUUUGGUAUGUUGGUUGGUAAAAUUAGAACAAAUGGAACCAUGGCAUGAAGGAAUCAAUAACAAAUUCACUAAAUUGGGACUUUGGGAAAGGAGGCUGUCUAAUGGGGCGGCCGGCUGGGGAUGACCAAAUGAAGCAGACUUACAAUAGUCGGCCAUAUUUUAUCACUUAGAGCAAAUCUUUGAUGAACUCAGCUUUGUAAAAUUGUAAUUGCUUUUGUAUGAUAGACCGCCCCACACAGAGUUGUAAACUAAAGUUGUUACCCCAUUUCUCAUUUUUGCUUUGGACCACCGAAUCAUUUGAAUCAUUUCAGGGAUAUAUAUUUCAGGUAGAAAGAAGAUAAGAAGCUGAAGAGAAUCCCAAACCACAAACAGUGACCUACACCAUUUUUGGUCGACGGAGGAGCUACCCGAGUGGACAUCACAGAUUCACAAGGACGGUAACUUAUCAGCCUAGUCACCGCCACUACAAUAUUGUCGUUGAAAGUUUAAAUUUCUCACUUAAUUAAAAAUGCGACAACUUUGAAUUGUCGCAGCCGGUUGUGCUUAAAGUGUUUUACCGAUUGUUAAAAGCGACGAAAUUAGAUGGUUUUUGUAUUUUCAAUAUACCAUGCAAUUGGUUCCUAUCAUAUGACAUAUUGCGAGACACGUAAGUGUGUUCCCACAAGUCAUAUACAAGACUUCAUAGUUGUUACAAUUUGUAAUUUACAAGGUUUUGUUUGCGUCACAUAUUUAAACUGCGAGGUGUUUGUUGCAUGUUCAAUAUGUGACGUAAUUGGUUCCUCACAUAUAUUGAUAUAUAUAGACAACAUGUAAUUCACCAAGAGACAAGCCGAUCCGCCACCUAGAUUGACAAUGCGACGCCACAAACACACAAGCUGAGACAAGAUCUCAUCAACAUAAGCCACCGACUAAGAACGGGGUUCCAAUUCCGGAUUCAGCCAAGCACAGACAGGGAAAAAGGAAUCCCGUUUACAAGCUUUUCUCGGUAGGGUAGGAAGUGACAAUGUAAUGAACGAAGCCAAUGCCUUUUGGGAUGUCUAAAUCCCCAGGCUAGCUAGCCUUAAGGGCGGGAUAUGCGUUCGUGAAAUCCAAUCAACGAAAUAAUUUGAUCUUUAGACCGCAUCCAGCACCUUCUUUGGACUUUUCCUCCUCAUUCCGCCUAAAAUCCACCCUUUUCAGCUGAUAGGUUCGACUAAAUACUCCUCCCGAUUUCUGUUUCCAAGCACCAAACUUGCCCAUCAAGAUAACAUCUCUUUCGACCACACCCAGUAGACACCAGUAAGGCCAGAAGCCUAUAUCGGCAUCGUGGUGCAGCCGGACAGGUGCGAAUGAGACUAGCGACAACGUUUAGAUUUACGCGCGCGGGAGCGCGUUCUAGAGAAUGACAUGCACUUUUGCUCAUAUGUAACCUACACUGUUUGUUUUGCUUAAUGAAUCCUUGAAUCUCUUAAUUGGGGCGUAUAGCCUAUAUUCAUUUUUCACACAUUCGGAUAAUCGCCAUAAUGUAAAGGGCAAAUCUAAGCUUCUUAGAUUUAGUAUUUGCCUUAUUUAGUGUAUUUAAUAUAUUGAUCGUUUGUUGAGAUUCGUAACUGUGAAUUUGUUUAGGUAUUGAAGUUUCAAUUAUUGUGAUUUCUUUCUGAAUGAAAUAAAAGAACUCGGGAACGUCAAUCUCUUUAGUAAUGAUUCAAUGCGUUUUCAAACUUUUGAUUUUCCACUACUACUUCUGUUAAUUAAUCUGUUAGAAAUAACUUAGGUGACCAGUUAUGGUCACUUAUGGGUGACAAACACCAAUAAGAGAUGGACAAAUAUCAACAAUAAUCAUAAAUAAACAUAUCAAAUACCUAAAACUUCCCUGUUAUGUCCUUAAAUUGCAAUCAAACAUUUUAAAAUGGACACGUGUCCCAUGUUUAUUGGUUGUGGUCACCUUAAGGUGACCAGCCCUUGUCACCGAAGUCGGGUUCAUUAAUCUAGCUUGCUAAUUUUUUUUUCUUCCAAGAGAUCAUGCAAUUCUAAUCGUUAAACAAUAACGUCACUGCAUCGAGUUAGAUAAUACUCAUAAUAGGUCAACAACAAUCGCUAAGUUAUUACUUUGUGAGAGUCAUACAAUUACUCAUCAGUAUGAGGUCUCUUCUACAAUGUGCUACAAAUUCCAUUUGCUGCAUUACCAAAUCACAUGUUAUACGUACGCUAUAUGAAUGAGUGAACUGGCUAGGAUCUGUUACAGCCUUACAGGUUAAUUAUGAAAUUCAUGCAUAUAUGGAAGAAACUAUUUUAUUAAUUAGAGUCCAUUUUGAAUAUUUGUGUCAGUAAUGAUUUCUUUUUACAAAAUAAUAAGAUUCCUUAUGGAAAGAUAAUAAAAAGGAUAAAGCUAAAAUUUAAUGACAUUAUUUUCAUUUCAAAGUAGAAGAACAGAAAACAAAGACGUUAUAUAUUGGUUUUGGGGUUAGCACUCAGAAGAAACCUGUAUCCCCUAUAAUGAACUAACACAUGUUUGGCAAUCCAGAAAUUAGCUCAAAAGAAAACAUACCAACUAGGUAUAAGUCCAUCGUUUGCAUCGACUAGUCAACUUUAUGAAAAGAUUAAUACAGCUUCAUAAUUAAUUUACACAGGGUGUGAACUUCAUGUCUUCUUAUAUAUGAAUCAAUUGCUAUAUUAUCUGUUACAUUUUACCCCAGUUCUUGUUGUUCUCAGCAGUCUUCCCAUUCUGAAUCUAGGCUAGCUUGUUUGAGUUUUCGAGUUGAACCAAACAACUUCCCUAAAUUUUCCAACUCUUGAAUAUGAGUACUACUAGUGAACAAUCGACGAGUUCAUAUUCUCCUUCCCGUACUACUACUUCUUCAAUGGAACAGGUAUGAGACUCAAAUUGUUAUUGUAUUUCUGUGUCUUUCAAUGGAACAAGUGAUGAACCAUUUUAUCAAUUUUUUCCUCGAUUAUGUUCUUCAUGAAAGUUUUCCGAUUUAGUCUUGUAGAAAAAAAAAAACAAAAUGGUACUUAUAGCCUUUAGCCUUUUAGAUGGUACUUAUAUAUGCGGGACAAUUCCAUGAACACUGAUUCCAUUUGAAUCCCUAAUUUUAACUUGAACACCUUCAUGUCAAUAUUUAUAGGAAAGAAAAAGAUCGAGGUCAUCAGUAAAUCUUAGUUUUGAUAAGUCUAUUCGUAGAGUUACAGAGGCAAUAGAUUAUUAAUGCAUGGAUGAAUGAUCCAUGCAUUAUAUGUGCAGUAUGGAGAGGUGAAUAUGAUCGAUGAUUAUAUAUUUGAAGAGUCGUAACCGUGGAUAAAGGAUGUUAAAAGAUAAAUGAUUACAUGUGAUCGGUGUAGUAAUAAAUCUUUCUCAUUUCUAAAUAACAUAGUAACGAUAGAGUGAUUACAAAAGAUCUAGUGAAACAUAAUACACAACGUAUAUUGUACGAAUUCGUAAAACAUCAUAACCUCUUCAGGGGCUUUUUUUUGUUUUUUGUUUUUGUUUUUUGUUUUAGGGAAAUGGAACAAAUUCAUUAGACUUAUAGCCAAUAACGAUCGUAAACGAUCAAUACAUGAGUAACCCUAGGACUACUCGCAUACAACAAUACAUUAUGAAUUAAAAAAACAACCUCAAAACUACAAUCCAAAAAGGUAGACAUUUAACCGACUAAAAAGCAAAUGAACCUCUACCAUACCCUAAAAGAACUUCCUCCUUCCCCAAUUAGAGGUCUCAGACCUCAAAUGGUGUACGGUGUACCUUUCAUCGAUAUGGGAGCUUGAAAGAGCCUCUAGUGCACAUACAUGGGUCUUUCCUAGUGUAAGCUCGUAACAAGCUCAACACGGAGCCUGGCAGAAAAAACUCAGAACAAGAGGGAAGGUGGGCUAAGGCCUAAGCCUACCCCAAUCCACAAUUUCCUAGAUUCCUCAUCUGGAACCCUAAUAGAAAUCUUCAGAGUUGCCCUCACGGGUUUCCACCAGAAUCCUACCGAACUCAUCUGAGCCUCAGUCUCUCGUGUUCAGGUGGGCGACCUCGAACCUCUGCUAUGAAGCAACCUAGAUAGUAGUCUUUGUCAAACAACGACAAGCGUGGCCCGUGGAUCAUCCUUGUACUGAUACUGUUCUAACUUAAUCACCUUUAAGGUGUUAGGUUUUAAUUACAAAAGACCUCGGUACAAUUAGAAAUGAUCCACCCACUUACAAGUUAUAUUUUUAUUUGUCAUUUUUCCAAUGUGAGAUCUCUCCUCUCUAACAUUUGCCCUCAUGGGCAACCUAACUUUUAGGUCUGCACGUGAAACUGAUUAACAAACUGAACCCGCCUAUGACAACCGAAAGAACCCCAAACUCCCCAAGACAAUCGAAAGAACCCCAAACUCGAAAGAACCAAACUAGGGUGAAUUCACUUUAAACUCGAAAGAACCAAACCAGGGCCAUGACCCUUGAAAGAACCAACCCGGGCUCAUUGGAGACGCAACUGGAGAGGGACCUGCUCUGAUAUUAUGUCAAACAGCGACAAACGUGGCCUAUGGAUUAUUCUUGUAUCGAUAUUGUCCAAACUUAACCACUUUUAAAGUGUUGGGUUUUAACCACAAAAGGUCUCGGUACAAUUAGGAAUGACCCACCCACUUAUUAUGAGUUAUAUUUUUUUUGUCACUUUUCUAAUGUGGGAUCUCUCCUCUCCAACAGUCUCUGCUUCCUCUGGCCUGGAUGACACUCAAAUCCUGACUAUGUCAACUUAAGAAUCAAGAUCUGAACCUAAUCUCCCUCCUCAUCAAUCAGCGCGGUUAAUCACCGGUGUGAUCACUCGAUCUCCACAACCCAGCCCCGUUGUUCUCCAAAGCAAUCCAUCAGUCUUUCAAACCUCUACUAACCCCGCAAGCCGCCGUCUCUAAGUCUUCGAACAAGAAGACUUCCUUAGCCACCGAGCCGCCGAUCCAAACCUCACCUCGAGAGCGCACCACUCUCCACCGAGUACCUCCCUAAAAUGAGGUACCAUCUGUGAAACACACCGGUCGGUGUUCACCACCGCCUAGCUCCAAAACCUAGGUUUUGGGAUCCUCGGCUCCGAAAGAGAUGGAGCGUUUAUUUUUUUUUUUCAGGGGCUUUAAGAUACCAUAUCAAGAGUUUAAUUCUUCAAUAUUGGUUAAUGUUGGGAGGGACUUUUUUUUAUAAAAAAUGUCAACCGCGACUUGUAGGACAUUUUCACACAUGAUCCCAAAAAUACCAUAGGCACCAUGAUCCAAACUAGCUAUUAUAAACAGAUGAGUAUUGUAUUGGUAAUAGAUUUUAGAUGUAGAGAGGAAGCUCUUUUCUCUUAAUAAUAAUUAAUAAAUAAAAAUUCAUAGCAAACCAGCAUUUGGUCUAUAUGCUAACUCUCUAACUUUUGCAAGAGAAUAGCUUUCACUAUUUUUGCUUAAAUUGUAUAAAUUUAUUCAUUUUUUUGUGUGUAAUCAAUCUUUUGUACUCAAACAACUAUAUAUAUAAAUUCAAAAGUAGCAAAAGUGGAGAGAACAACGAAGUGCAUUUUGAAAUUGACUAGUUAAUAAAAGUAGUAUCACCUAGUAUUAUAUAGCUAUUAUAUAUGACGUUUUUUCUCAAACAAUAUGACCUUCAUUUCCAUGGCUAAUUAACCAGCCAUGGAUGGAUCAAUGGAAAUUGCAGGUUUCAAAAGCAAUGGUGAAGGAGAGAGUGCAGCAAAAACCAGAAUGGAUUGAGGGAUUCUUAAGAGCAAAAUUCUCUGUUGCCUGUGCAACCCAUCCUUAUAUCGCGAACCCCUUAAAUAGGUACUGCAUAACCUGUAGAAUCCCAGGAUGCCAGUUCUGUAUCAGUCCUGGCAAUCGGCAUAGCGACCACGAAACGUUCCAAGUCUACAGGCAUUCCAACCGUGAUGCAGUUUUACUCAACGAAAUGCAAAAACACUUCGACUGUAGUGGUAUUCUUGUACGUACACAACUUUGAGAUAUCUGGUACGUUUCUAUUCUUUAGUUGAUAUUUUGAAUGAUGUAUUGAUAUUGUGACCGCCAUUGUUUCCAGCCCUACAAGCGUGACCGAUCGCUGGUCAUAGCACUGAAGCCUCUCCCGCAUUUAGGUGGAUUAAGCAAGUUUAUGUGCAAGACUUGUGGGAGACGAAUAAGUUACCCGUACUCAUACUGCUGCCUCUAUUGCAAGGUACGUACGUAAUGACGACUCAUGCAUCUGAUGAAUCCUAUCUGAGAUCAUCAGCUAAACUAGCAUUUGGUUGUUCUACUAACUUAACUGACGAACAAUUUGCGGAAUUUAUAUAUCUGAUUUAGAAGCUGCAUGCAGCCUAUAUGCAUUUUAAUUUCAGCUACAUAUAUGGAUUGGACUUAAUUUUAUGACUUAUAUAUUUAUAGGUGGAAGUAAUGGCGAGCAGAGUCUCAUCAUCAGCUCCUCCACUUCUUGGCGACCAGAAUAGUCCCAACAAUAGGGAAAACAAGAAGAGGGUUGCCGAACCGGACAGCUCACUUAACAGAAGAAAGGGAAAAGCUUUCCGAGCUCCAUUUUUCUGAAGUCGUACUUGCUACUUUGAGAGGAAUUACUUAACAUCAAUUUGGCUAGUCAUUCUAUGUUCAUGUUUAAUUGACUAUAAUUUGCUAUAUAUUUCUUGAAACACCAAGCUCAUAUUAAAAUUAUGGCCUGGAUUCAAGGCAAGUUUGUGGUUGAUUUUUCGACUUUUGGAUCGUCUGUUUCGGCUAAGAAUAAUACAUGAUAGACUACUCUAUUGCAGAUGCUAACGCUCUCUAUACUAAAAAGAGUAACUUGCCUCGUAGGCAUGGCAACUAUUGUUUAUCUGACACUAAAUGCUGAACAUGCAAGCAAUUAAUUGUGGUAGGCUAAGCCAAAUUUACCAUAUAUCUAUUUUUGGUCGAAUAUUCACAUAACUAAAUCCACUUUUUCACAGUAUUGUUCAUAAUUACUGUUCACGUGAACAAUGUUUUCUCAUCUCAUAAAGAAAAAAAUGUUUCAUAUCUUGCCAUCUCUGUUGAUUGCUGAAUUUCUGUACAUACCAUUCCUUUUGGCUUACUAACAAGUUUGCCAUGAGACUGAAUAUAAAGAGGCUGAUGCCAGAUUUUUUCUGCUCACUCUUAAAGGUUCCAGACUUGACUUUCUCACGAACUUCGCCGCCCUAAACGUUUCACUGAUUUCAACACCAAUCGACGAACUUCGCCGCCCUAAACGUUCAUAACACUGUUUAUAACAUUGUUUAUAAGAACAGUGUGCUGACUGUUUACCCCUCGCUCAGAUGCUGCAAGAUUCCACAUUUGCCCUAAGAGUUAGGGCUGGAUAUAAAAGGCUUCUUUUUUUUUGGUGCUCGUGUCACCUUUUCUUUUCUCUUCUAAUCUCUCUCGCUCUUUCUCACUCUCUUGAAACUUCCAUAAAGAUCGAGAAAGAGCUACUGUUCAGUUUUCUUUAUUCGUCUUACAUUCGAGUGUUCCAGAGGUUUUAGAAGAUGAGAGAGAGAUCAGGUAGAGAGGGAGAGAAAGACAGAGUCCGGCUAAAUGCAGAGAAGGAUAAAGAGAGAGUUGAUCCAGAAUUGAUCCCUUGAAUUCUGAACUCUUUCCAGUUUUUACCAAAUUUCUUGAUCGAUUGAGGUUCGGCACCUCACAAGAUUUGGUGGCGGCAUGGGUUUAGGGUUUGUCAUCAGUAAGUAGAAGGGAGGUGAUUCUGGGUUUCGAGUAAUACUCUUUUUAACUCGGGUCUGUUUGUUUGUUUUAUUAAGAUCGGUGAUGGGUAAUGUUUGAGGUUUGGUAUUUUGGCAGAUUUAAGUUAAUAUAUUUUGUUUGUAUUCUAAUGUCGCUAAAUCUUCUGGGUUUCUUCUCUUUUUACAAUUAUUGUUGUAGGUUUUGGAAGUAAGGCUUUAAAUUUGAAUGACGAAAAGGAUCAAAGUGAUAUUGCAAAAGCUCUUUCUGUGUCUCCAAACAAUCAUCAUCAGGUAUUUCGUUUGUAAUUUUCUUACCUUUUAUUCCCUCUGUAUGUAGCUUCAAUUUACCAAUGUCUGAUUCAAUUGCCUUGCUUUUCGUACAGAUUGUGGAUCUCAUACAAAAUGUGGAUGUGAAUCCGAUCGUUACAAACUACUGUGAUGUGGGAAGCGUGAACACGAUAGGAGGCGGCUCCGUUAAGCGUCAAAAAACAAGUGAGAUAAAGUUGGAAUCCACCAACGACAACCUUGAAUCCACAGACUAGAUUUUAGAAUACACGAGAAGUUCUAGAAUCCACCAGGAAUUUGAGAAAACUCAAAAGUUUUAUUGAUAAGAAAGAUUCCCCUAAUAGCAAGUACACCCAUUGAAAAAAAUUCAACCUGGGUUGGUUGACACCUAGGCAAUCCAACCCAAGAGAAAAAACUUAUCUUCCACCCACAAAUGGGAUAUCUCCCUAAUUCAACCCCGGCUACAUUUUGAGGGAGCAAUCUGACCCAAGUUAGAGGAGCAAUCCAGCCCAGGUUACUUGCGCCACCUCAGCUCGACCCACAACGUGGGUGAUGUUAGUCUGGGCUACUCUCCAUCGUCUCACGCCAUCCAUUGCCGCGUGAAGCACACUAGUCUUCUUUGAUGGGUAUGAAUGCCGCACGUGAAGACCACCUUCACCUUUGUGGAGGAAACAUGAAAGAGAGUUGGGCCCCCACUAACCUCUUUGACCGUUUAUUAUGCAAAUAUGCUUUAAAUUUUUUUGAUUGAGCAAAUAAUUUUUUAAAAUUCAAUAAGAUGUAGCAAUAGGGAAAAUCUGUAAAAAGAAAUUAAAAAAAAAGAAAUUCAAAUUGUAUGAAUUCUCUAUUAAUACUUGUCAUUAUUUUGCAUUCCACAAACCAAAAAAGAAGAAGAAUUCCUUAGUUAUAGCUAAUUAUUUAUAUCCCUAGCCAAUUUAGAAUGUGCAUGUGUUCUAUGUUUAUGAGUUUUUUAUUAGAAAAUUAAAAAUAAAAGUAGACUUGACUUGUUAAAUAUUAUGAAAUAAAAAAUAAUAAUUUCAAUGUGAUAUAAUUUAUAAAAAUUAUAUCUAUCUACAACUAAAAUCAUUAUUCACACUAAAAAAAUGUUUUUUAAAAUUUAAUAAACAGUCAUUGCCAUGUGGCAACAAUCUCACAUUUUUGACAAGUGGAAAUUACUGCCUAGUCACAGUGACCCAGAGUGACCCAGGUCACUGUGUUCAAUCUAAUCCAACGGGCGAACUUGCUCUAAUACAAAGCAUGAUGAAGUUUAUAUAGGCAUCCAUACCUAAGAAUUACAAUCAUAAUCUAAAUUGAAACCUAAGAAUCCAAAUUAAAAAGAAAACAAAUAACCCUAAAUAAAAGAAUCCUAAAAAGAAAAUAAAACUAGCCUAAAAAUACUAAAUCGUGAAUCGGACAGUUAAAACGACAUAUUUUGGCUUAAAUCUGAUAGGGCUCACUAAAGUGAGUCUUGUAGAUCUCGUCGUUUCCAUUCCGGAAAUGUAUCAUGCAUCCAAAACGGAACGUUCUGGCCAAAAAUUACUCCAAAUCAGAUUUAAGAGAUUUUGCGUGACAAACCUAGAAAGUCUAAAACAACAUCUUUUUGAAUAUUCCAGCGGCUAACAACCUCAUGAUACGAGAAUUACCGAUCUUUAAAUCAUUAUUUUUGAUUAUUCGCUGCUUCCUUAUUUUUAUUUUUUUUCUGUUUAAAUUUGACACAUUCUCGUCCUACAUCAUAUUGCAUGCCAGAAUGACAAGCUAUGCCAGAUAAGCUACAAGGCCUAGCACCAUUAUAAUCAUUUGGCUUCUCAAUAUCGGUGCAUUAUCUUGGCUAAUGAGAUUUGAUCUUUACAUUAUCAAGUUGUAUGUACUUCACAAGUUCACAAAUGCAAAUGUAGCAUGUGAUUUUGAAAUCCUCUUACAUUUAGCAAAUCUUAAAGAAUGUAAUCUAAGCUCUAAAGCAUUGUGCUCAAUAUAUAGGAACAAUAUUUGUUAGAUGAGAUACAAAAACUUUACAUAAUUUUCCUUUAGUUUGGUGAAUUACAAUGCACAUAUCUAAAUAAAUUAAAUAUUUUUUUCACAAGCUCAUACCAAGUUAUGUAAAAAUCAAUAUCUUGAUAAUAAUGAAUAACAUGCUGGAAGAUUCACAAAACUCGAAUACGCUGGUAACAAAUAUUUUGUAUCGCAAUCGUAAUCACACUUUGGAAUUGCUAUACUUUUUCCUUCAGACCCGAUCUAGGGAGAAGUAUAUAUAAAAGUAGUUAGUUUCUUCUAGAUCUAGAUACAAUAUAGCAGAAAUGCAUGAAUAUAGAAACAUAAAGCUAUACAUCUAAAGGCAAUCUGAAAACAUUAAGCUUCCCAAGAAGGCAUUCCAAAAAGUUUGUAUCGUGAAUGUCUAAAAAGAAUAUUCUUUAAGGACCUAUGCCAGCAGUCAGCAGUCACAACACAAUCUUUUAUGACCUGAAAGAGAAAAUGAGAAAUCCUAAGUAAUGGAUAUUAAUGAUAGCAUAUUUUUCAUUCAACAUGUGUAUGAUCAAUAAGGUUAAUUGAAAGAUAAUUGUAUAUUGAUAUACAAUAUUGAGUAUUUUGUGGUAAUCUUACAGUAUCUUUCACUCGAUAAUAAGAUUGUGAGGUAACAGACAUUGAUCCACCUUUUCCCUUAAAGAAUUCAAUCAUUUUACAAAUGCAGGGUUUUUCUUCUCCCGAAGCCUAAAAGAAAACAACCAACACAAAGAGCUGUCAAUUUUUGGAUAAGAAAACAUAACAAAAACAUUAGACAACAAGUUAUGCCAUUGCACGUAUGAGUUUUCUUUGCGAAAAGAAAACAAAUAUAAGAGAUGUCAUGUUGAUUCUAACAGGGUUUAUAUAUGAACAAUCAUCGAUGUAUAAUUUAUAAACUUGCGUCACUAUAAUAUGUUUCGUCACCAAACCUGGUUGCUAGGUAGGUUACUUUGGAGACGUACGUAUUUGUGUUCUUGAAGGAUCGCCAUAUCGUAGAAAGGUUUUUUGUCAAAGGUCUGGGAUGCAUGUCGUGCUUGUCCACCGCACACCAGAGGUGGAACCUAUCAAUAGAACCAUUGUUGAUCGAUCGAUAGAAGAAAACUGCUCAAAGUUUAUUAGCCAAAGAGUUCAGAAGAAGUUGAAUUAGAUGUCUAGAGAGCUAGAUUAAUUUGAGUCUGCUAGCUAGGUUUCGAAACUCUUAAAUAAAGGUGUGUUCUAGGGUUUGUAUGUAUAGAAGUUUAGUUUUGGUAGGAUCCAUGAUAAUAGGACUCAUUCGAAAUUUGAAAUUUAUGUUAUUUUUUUAGAAUGUUUUGAAAUUGUUAUGAUAAAGAGAAAACUUAUGACAUGAUAAUUGGUGAUUGGUGGUAAUUGGCUGUUAAAUGAAGGAGGAAAUCAAGUGGAAGAUUUGGCCAACUACGGUAGGGGAAAUUAUUAUUUGUACCCGGAACACCACCUGUUUUUUGUUCCCCUUUAAUCUUAUUGGUCCACGUGUUUUAUCUUUAUUUCUGAUUGGUGCUGGUCCCCACAUGAAUCUGAGUUAUAUGAUUGGUCGGGUACAACACCUGGUAGUGCCACGUGAUGUUCCAGGUACAGAAAAUAAUUACUCCUAUGGUAGAAUUAUUUUAAUUAAGAUAAUAAAUUGCGAAUCAUAUAACUCUCAAAAAUAUUGAGCACGCAUAAACAUAAUUGGUAGUGGCAGUAGUAUUUAAACAAAAUUGGUAUUUUUUUCUUUUGUAAACUUCUUACACUUCCACUACCAAACCCUAUUAUAUAUACACCUUCUUCAAGCUUUCUGAUUCUGCAAUCUGCAUGAACCCCAAACUCCAAAAACCCCAGGUCUUCAUCACCUUGUCCAACUUGCUCAUCACAUAGUAGUACUCAAACUGGCAUUCUCCACUUCCCACUAGUUCCUACUUCCCAAAACGUAGGGUGACAGUGACAAACCAGCCAGCCUUGUUGAGUUUCAGUGAAGUAAACUCUUUCUUUGUUAGUUAUAGCACCGAAAACUCUUAGUGUAUCCCUCACAAGCUUUCCAAAUUCUUACUAGUGUGCGUUAUAUUCUUUGGCUUUAUUCUUCUGUCAACCCAAGCCAGAUGGCAUAACCAUACCAAACACAGCAAGCACAACCACCCUCACAAGAUUUCUUACAUUUCACAGCCUCCUUCCUCUUCACCUGGACCUGCUGCUAGCUACAGUCCUCCUGAACUUGAAGAGCCUAAGAAUCCAUACAACUCCACACCUGGUGUUUUCGAUGUUCGAUUAUUUGGGGCUGUUGGGGAUGGCCAAACAGAUGACACUCAAGCCUUUAAGAUGGCUUGGGACACAGCAUGCCAAAGUGAAUCGCCAGCAAAGAUACUUGUUCCGAACCAUCUCACAUUCAUGAUUCAUUCCACAAUAUUUACCUGUCCCUGCCUUUCAGGCCUGGUGUUACAGUUAAUAAUGUACUAAUUUUCUUUCACUUUUUGGCCAGCUCAAAGUGAGAAAAGACUAAAUGUUAGUCCGUUGGGUACAUUUGGUAAUGUGAAUUAGGUUGAUGGGGUUAUAGUACCACCUGAUGGACCAGAGUCCUGGCCAAAAAACAACAGCAGGCGCCAAUGGCUCGUUUUUUAUCGAAUCAACGAAGAUGUCGCUGCAAGGGAGUGGUGUCAUAGAUGGGAGAGGAGACAAAUAGUGGCAACUUCCCUGCAAACUCCACAUGGUAUUUUGUUUAAGUUGUUCAUAUUUGGUCUUAAACAUUUGGUGAUCUAAGAAACUGCUUACAUUGAUCAAUUUUUCACAGGGGGUAAAUGGAACCACCUUGCCCGGACCAUGUGAUAGCCCAGUUGUAAGUUUCAAAUUUUUUGUUUGAAGUAACAUCAGCUAACUAUAUUAUUGAACUUUGAUUUAAUAUGAUAUUGUAUUUAUGCAGGCCAUUAGGUUUUUCAUGAGCUCUAACUUGACAGUACAAGGUCUUAGGAUUAAGAAUAGCCCCCAAUUGCACCAGUCUCUUGCUUGUUGGAGGGUAAUCCUAGAACUUUACUCAGCGAUGAAAUAGACCACUGCUGAUAUAUCAGUCCAUGGUAUUCAUCUUAGGUCUGUAAAGCAAUUAGAAAUCUAUAACUAGCUACAAAAGGAAUUAGGAAUCUGUCAGCUGGAUUGCAAUUCUAAUUGUAAUUGUGUGAUUAUAGAGGAGAGAUGUUUUAUGUGCUCCCUUUCAUAUAUAUAGAAUCUAUGUAUUUCUUCAUGUUCUUGUCGGAGAGAUGGGUUUUUGUAGCUUGUAUUUUAGAAAAAGUAUUCUAGCUCUGCUGUAACACAUGCAUGAUUUAUAGGGAAUGUUGAAUAACUAUUUUACUUGGGAAAGUUGAAUAAACUGCAGUAAGAAUAUGUGACAACAAUGUAUAUCAACGUACUAAUAUGGGAUGCAGUCCCAUAUAUGUGAAACCAGAUAAAGAAGUAUAUGGCCUGGACCUUGCAAUUAACCUACAAAGAAUUGGAUGAUGCGAAUUUAAGGCUUCGAUCGAGCUUUAAUAUAUUUACCAUGUUAGACAACCAUGCACUGUAAAAUCAAACUAGCUACAUAACGAACUUU